UAUUUGUACUUAUAUUUUAAAAAAUAUUAUUAAUUUCAUACAAGUCCCUACAAAUAUAGUAAAUUAUAAGUGUAUUCUUACAAAAUUUACCUCUUAUUUAUUGGUCUAUAUAAAAGUCUUAAUAUUUUCAAAUAUAUCCCUUUGGUUUGUUACCGUUAAAAUAACAUCUAUUUUAUAAGUGGAAUAAUCCUUUUGCCAUUACAUAUAUCCCUCCAAAAAUUCCAACUUUUAAUUGAAUAAGGGUAAAAAAGUGAAUUCACCUCAUUAACUAACUAGAGUUAAAUAUUUAACCUAUGGUUAACUAAAUAUUCCUAACGGAUUCUAACGGUAGGCACAUAUUUGAAAAUAUCUAAAUUUUUGCAUGAAUAACAUAUAAAAAUUAAACUUUGUAGGGAUAUAUUUGCAAUUCACUNAUAUAUAUAUAUAUAUAUAUAUAUAUAUAUAUAUAUAUAUAUAUAUAUAUAUAAAAUUUUUUCUAAAUUAACCAUUCGCAAUGUUUCCUUCAUUGUUGAAUAUGGGUUCCACGUCGAACCGUCUCAAAUCCUCCAUAUAUUUUUCUUUUUUUUUUUGCUUAGAGCGAAUCGGAUUUUUUUUCUUGAACCGAUCCGAUCAUUGUUUAGUGUGAGCUCCCCCAGACCGAUUCAAGUUUUCUAUAUAUAUAUUAUUUUCUUUACUUAAACCAAACCUGAUUUCUCUCUUUCUUUACUUCAACCGAAUCGGGUCAGCCUGUUGCAUUGAGCCGAAUCAGCCCAACUACUCUCCAUGUUUCUAUCUUUCAACUAAUUUUUUGUUUUUCUUUAUUUGAGCUGAUCACUGUUGAAUGUAAACUCUGCCUCGAACUAACUCAAAAUUUUCUUCUGUUUGCUCGAAACAACUCGAAUUUUUCUUUUUAUUUUUUUUAUUUUUUUGGCUCGAACUGAUCAGGCUCAAGUUUUCCUUCUUUUUCCUUAAAAUGAGCCGGAUUUUUUUUUUGUCUUGAAUCGAAUCGAGUCACCGCUUUGUACUAGGCGUAGUUGUUCCUCAUCUUCUUUCUUAUACUGUUAUCUUUUUUCAUCGACAAAUUAAAUUUCGUUUCUCGUCGCUUCUUCUAUUAACUUUUUUAUUAGUUUUUUAAUUAUUUAUUCGCCGUAUUGUACAGGUCAUCGAAACAGCUGAACGAUCAUCCAAAUACAGCACAAUAAUAUUUUCAAACAAUAAAUCUUAAUAAUAAUUAUCUUUUUUUAGUGUACUUUUAUUAUUUAAUAAUCUAAAAUUCGCUGUCACCAACUGUCUCUCAUUUUUCUUUUUUUCUUUUUUUAAGUAUAAAAAUGUACGAAAACAAAAACUAUUUUGGAAUAGCCUUCUUAGCCUUUUUCCUCUCGUUAUUAUUCCUCAAAAAUUUUAUAUUUUUUUAAUUUAAUCUAUAUUUUAGUUAAACAAAUUAGAAUCUAAAGGCAACUAUAAUUUCGUUAAAUUUAAUAGCUUUAAUUACAUUUUAGAUAAUAAAUCUGCAAUAAUUAAUUAAUAACAAUAUAAAUUCAGCAACCAUAAUUUCUAUACUUUUUAGUAAAAUAAAAUUAUAGUUCAUAAUAUUUUUCUGAUCUCAAAUUUUUACCUAUUUUUUACACUUUAGUUUCCAACAUUUUAAUUUUUUUGUAAUUAAUUCUGUGAUCCCACUUAAUAUAUCUGUGAUAAUUAAUUUGUUUCUAGUUUAAUUUAGCGAGAUUCAUUUGAAACAAAUUAUACAUUCAAAAAUAUGAUUGUAACAAAAAAAAAUAUAAUAUAUAUUAAAAAUUUUUAAAGUGAAAAAGUCGAUAAAGAAUAGGACCAUGAUGCAAUUAUUAUUAUUAUUAUAUUAUUAUUAUUUUUCAAUCCUUAUCCAGGUAACAUGCAAUCCAACGUAACGCCAAAACAACUAAUUUAUUACGUCCCAUCGAAUGUGUUUUGUUUUAUUUUUUUUUAUUUAAUGUUUUCAUGAGAACGUACGACUUAUAUCUUAUUUUAUAUUUUAGUACACAGGAAUAUAUUUUCUUUCACAGCUAAAGAUGCUUAUAUUAUCUUUAUGUAUAUUUUUUGGCUUAAUUGUAUACAUGUCCCCACAAAUACAGUAAAUAGCAUAUAUAUUUCGGUAAAGUUUAAUUUUUAUAAAUUAUUUUUGUAAAACUCUUAUUAUUUUCAGAUAUGUUCCUGCUGUUAGAAUCUGUUAUAAAAGUUUAGUUAACCAUAGGUUAAAUACUUUACUCUAGUUUAUUUUUGACAUUUUUAUCCCUCUUAUAUUAUACUGUUAUAAUUUUUGGAGGAACAUAUUUGCUGUGGUAAAAUUGAAAAUAUAAACAGUUUUCUAACGGUUCUCUAACGAUAAUAAAUCAGAAGGAUAAAUCUGAAAAUAUUAGAAGUUUUGUAAUAAUAAUUUAUAAAAGUUAAAUUUUAUAAGAAUAUAUUUAUAAUUUACUAUAUUUUCAGAGACCUAUAUAUAAUUAACCCUAUAUUUUUAAUAAGUAUGUAUAAAAAAAUCCCAAUUUAUAUAUUAAUUUAAGAGGGUGGGAUAUUAUUGUCACCGUCCUGCAAUAAUGCACAUAAGAAUUAGGGAUGUUAACGAGUCGAACUCAGAAUGGGUUUUCAAAAACUCGAACCCAAACCUGCUAAACCAAAUUUGAAUCCCAAACCCAAAUCCAACAGAUUUAAAUUAAAAUCCAUAUUCAAAUCCGAACCCAAAAAUUCGAACUCAAAACAAUUAUUUCUUUUUACCGUAUUUCAAAACAUAUUAUAUUAAAUCUAAAUUUUUAAAAUAUAAAUUCAAAUAUAAUUAGGAUUUGGGUCAAGUUCGGGUUCAAGUUGGGUACAGACUAAAUUCAUAUCCGAAUUCAACAUCAGUUGGGUUUUCUUUUUUUAUACCCGUAUCCAAAACUAUAUCUAUUUAGCCAGUGACGAAGUUAGGACUUGAUUACGAGAGGGCCAAAAUACAUAUAAAUUAAAAUUUUAGCAAGUAAAUAAAAUAUACCUAAUUAAAAUUUUGAUGAGAAAAUAUAUAACCUAAAUUGUUAGUGUAAAAAAAACAUUACCUUUUUUUUUAUUUAGACUUACUUAACUUUUAAUUAUUUUAUUUAUAUUAUUUCACUCAAAUAAUUUUAAAAUUUACUAAAUCUAAAAGUAAUUCAGUUAAUAAUUUAAUUUCUUAAUUUUUACUAAAUACAAUUGUGAUAAUUGAUUAUUAUUAGUUGACUAAGCUAUUAACUUUAAUAUAAUUUUUUUAAUUAAAUAAAAAUUUAUCUAAAAUAAUUAGAAAUUAUGAAAGUAUGUACUAAACAACAAAAAUUAAAAUAAAUUUAGAGUUGAGAAAGUAUUAUGUUCAUGCCGGAACUUUUUUAAAAGAUAGGUCGGUCAAAUAUACUUUAGAGAUUAAAGUAAAAUAAAUCCUUGAAAUUUUUUAUAUGAAAAGGAUAUAUGUGCAAAUUUUGAAAAUCUUGGUGGGGGAGGGCAUGGCCCCCUCAGCCCACAUAUAGCUCCGCCCCUAGCAUCAAUAUAUUCGCUCUGUUCGGUUACGUAUUCAGAUAAAAUUUCAGAUAUCCACACACGACGACGCGUACGAUCACCGGGAGGUGACGGAUUCGGGCUCUUCUCACUAUUUAUACCUAACAACCUGAUAAGCUAGGUGGAGUGUGUCACCACAACUCACAAGAGAAGUGCUAUUUUUGAGUUACUGAGAAAGGAGAGUCACAUCUUAUUAAUAUCAUCAUAUAAUUUUGGUUCUUCAUUUUCACAUAUAUUAGAGCAUGGAUCCUUACCAGGUUUGGCCUUUUACCAUUAUUAUUUUUUAAUUUUUUUUUUCAUUUUAUGUAGAAUAUAUUAUAUAUAUAUAUAUAUAUAUAUAUAUAUAUAUAUAUAUAUAUAUAUAUAUAUAUAUAUAUAUAUAUAUAUAUAUGUGUGUGUGUAGUUUAAUUAAGGAUCUUUCUUGAGUUUAAUGUUGAAGUUAUGGGGCACUAAAAAUAAGUAUAUAUUUAGUUCAUCAGUGUUUUUCAGUUUGCAGCGAUGCGAUCGUGUUCGUAGCUAUCGUUUUAAACGAACUAGAUUUGAUUUUUACAAAAGCAACUGUUUUGUAAAUGAAAUGAAAUAGUAUGAAGAUUAAACCAUGCACGCGCCGCGGAUUUAUUUAUUUUUUAAUUAGCUAAAUGAUUGAUCAACAAACUAAUUUAUUUAAUUAAGAUGUGCAUCUCUUUUGUAUUUGAAAUACUUUGUUAUUUUAGAGCGUCACACUACGUAAGUUCUCUGAAUCAAUGUUCUGCUCUGAUCGAUUUGAUCUAAAAUGUUUAGAAUAUUCAGAAAGUAAAUUAUGUAAUUUCUUAGAAUUAUUUAUUUAGUGAUGAAAAGGAUUCAAAAUUAAUUAUUAAUAUAUCGUUAAACUUGUAAUCAAUUACAUAGGCUGUUAAAAUUAUUAUUUUUGAAUCUUUUCGAUCAUUAGUUAAAUAAUAUAAAAAAAAACUAUAAAAUUUAUUUUUAUAAAUAUUUUAAAUAAUCUAAACCAUAUCUAGUGAAACUUAUCUUCAACUCAAAAUUUUCAUAAUUAAAAAUAAUUUAAAAGUACUUAAAGCAUCGUACUCUUUAAAGCACUUCAAUUAAACUAUAUAUAUAAAUACGAAUAAUUGCAUAUGUACUCCUCAAAAUUUCAAAAAUAUCUUAUUUAUUCUUACUUUUUUUUUUUCUUUUCAAUAUAUCCCUUAUAUAUUCCUCCGUUAUUCUAAAACACCGCUACAGUUACCACCAGUUAAAUUAACUUAGUUUAAACGUGAGUUAAAUAUAUGUUAAAAUUAAAAAAAAUAAAAUAUCUCUUUUGUCCUUAAUUUAAAAACAAAUAAGAAAUAUUGGUGAUGAUAGAGGGUAUAUUUGAAAAGACCAAAAGUCAAAAUACUUUUUGUAUCCCUAACUUAGGAGCAAAUAAAAAAAGUCGAUGAUGGUAGAAGGGUAUAUUUAAAAGGACAAAAUAGUAAUUUUAUACCGAUAACAGUUAUUAUUAAUAGUUUAUUAAUAUAAUUUAACUCUAAAAAUAAAUUUAAAUGUAAAAACUGUAUUUUCAAUAUUAAACUUCUAAGAUAUGUAAAUUAGAAAAUCGAAAAUUUUUCCUAAACUAUAUAUAUAUAUAUAUAUAUAUAUAUAUAUAUAUAUAUAGAGUCCGGCUAUGGUGAUUGUAAAAGUACCAAGUAUUUGGUGCUUGUAAAUUUUUUACCGUUAGAUCUAUGCCUUUGAUCAUUUUCAUCCGUUAGAUUAUACUAUUCAACCAACCACCCACUCAACCCUAGGGGGCCCACAUCAUCUUAACCGCACAUCCCUUAAUCNCCUCUUAUAUUAUACUGUUAUAAUUUUUGGAGGAACAUAUUUGCUGUGGUAAAAUUGAAAAUAUAAACAGUUUUCUAACGGUUCUCUAACGAUAAUAAAUCAGAAGGAUAAAUCUGAAAAUAUUAGAAGUUUUGUAAUAAUAAUUUAUAAAAGUUAAAUUUUAUAAGAAUAUAUUUAUAAUUUACUAUAUUUUCAGAGACCUAUAUAUAAUUAACCCUAUAUUUUUAAUAAGUAUGUAUAAAAAAAUCCCAAUUUAUAUAUUAAUUUAAGAGGGUGGGAUAUUAUUGUCACCGUCCUGCAAUAAUGCACAUAAGAAUUAGGGAUGUUAACGAGUCGAACUCAGAAUGGGUUUUCAAAAACUCGAACCCAAACCUGCUAAACCAAAUUUGAAUCCCAAACCCAAAUCCAACAGAUUUAAAUUAAAAUCCAUAUUCAAAUCCGAACCCAAAAAUUCGAACUCAAAACAAUUAUUUCUUUUUACCGUAUUUCAAAACAUAUUAUAUUAAAUCUAAAUUUUUAAAAUAUAAAUUCAAAUAUAAUUAGGAUUUGGGUCAAGUUCGGGUUCAAGUUGGGUACAGACUAAAUUCAUAUCCGAAUUCAACAUCAGUUGGGUUUUCUUUUUUUAUACCCGUAUCCAAAACUAUAUCUAUUUAGCCAGUGACGAAGUUAGGACUUGAUUACGAGAGGGCCAAAAUACAUAUAAAUUAAAAUUUUAGCAAGUAAAUAAAAUAUACCUAAUUAAAAUUUUGAUGAGAAAAUAUAUAACCUAAAUUGUUAGUGUAAAAAAAACAUUACCUUUUUUUUUAUUUAGACUUACUUAACUUUUAAUUAUUUUAUUUAUAUUAUUUCACUCAAAUAAUUUUAAAAUUUACUAAAUCUAAAAGUAAUUCAGUUAAUAAUUUAAUUUCUUAAUUUUUACUAAAUACAAUUGUGAUAAUUGAUUAUUAUUAGUUGACUAAGCUAUUAACUUUAAUAUAAUUUUUUUAAUUAAAUAAAAAUUUAUCUAAAAUAAUUAGAAAUUAUGAAAGUAUGUACUAAACAACAAAAAUUAAAAUAAAUUUAGAGUUGAGAAAGUAUUAUGUUCAUGCCGAGAACUUUUUUAAAAGAUAGGUCGGUCAAUAUACUUUAGAGAUUAAAGUAAAAAUAAAUCCUUGAAAUUUUUUAUAUGAAAAGGACUAUAGUGCAAAUUUUGAAAAAUCUUGGUGGGGGAGGGCAUGGCCCCCCUCAGCCCACAUAUAGCUCCGCCCCUAGCAUCAAAUAUAUUCGCUCUGUUCGGUUACGUAUUCAGAUAAAAUUUCAGAUAUCCACACACGACGACGCGUACGAUCACCGGGAGGUGACCGGAUUCGGGCUCUUCCACUAUUUAAUACCUAACAACCUGAUAAGCUAGGUGGAGUGUGUCACCCACAACUCACAAGAGAAGUGCAUAUUUUUGAGUUACUGAGAAAGGAGAGUCACACUCUUAUUAACUAUCAUCAUAUAAUUUUGGUUCUUCAUUUUCACAUAUAUUAGAGCAUGGAUCCUUACAAGGUUUGGCCUUUUACCCAAUUAUUAUUUUUUUAAUUUUUUUUUUCAUUUUAUGUUUAGAUAGGAUAUAUAAUUAUAUAUAUAUAUAUAUAUAUUAUAUAUAUAUAUAUAAAUAUAUUAUAUAUAUAUAUAUAUAUAUAUAUAUAUGUUGUGUGUGUGUUUAAUAAGGAUCUUUCUUGAGUUUAAUGUUGAAGUUAUGGGGCACUAAAAAUAAGUAUAUAUUUAGUUCAUCAGUGUUUUCAGUUUGCAGCGAUGCGAUCGUGUUCGUAGCUAUCGUUUUAAACGAACUAGAUUUGAUUUUUACAAAGCAACUGUUUUGUAAAUGAAAUGAAUAGUAUGAAGAUUAAACAUGCACGCCGCCGCGAUUUAUUUAUUUUUUAAUUAGCUAAAUGAUGAUCAACAAACUAAUUUAUUUAAUUAAGAUGUGCAUCUCUUUGUAUUGAAAUACUUUGUUAUUUUAGAGCGUUCACAUACGUAAGUUCUCUGAAUCAAUGUUCUGCCUGAUCGAUUUGAUCUAAAAUGUUUAGAAUAUUCAGAAAGUAAAUUAUGUAAUUUCUUAGAAUUAUUUAUUUAUGAUGAAAAGGAUUCAAAAUAUUAUUAAUAUAUCGUUAAACUUGUAAUCAAUUUACAUAGGCUGUUAAAAUUAUUAUUUUUGAAUCUUUUCGAUCAUUAGUUAAAUAAUAUAAAAAAAAACUAUAAAAUUUAUUUUUUAAAUAUUUUAAAUAAUCUAAACCUAUCUAGUGAAACUUAUCUUCAACUCAAAAUUUUCAUAAUUAAAAAUAAUUUAAAAGUACGUAAAGCAUCGUACUCUUUAAGCACUUCAAUUAAACUAUAUAUAUAUAAUACGAAAAUUGAUAUGUACUCCUCAAAAUUUCAAAAUAUCUUAUUUAUUCUUACUUUUUUUUUUUCUUUUCAAUAUAUCCCUAUAUAUUCCUCGUUAUUCUUAACACCGCUACAGUUACCACCAGUUAAUUAACUUAGUUUAAACGUGAGUUAAAUAUAUGUUAAAAUUAAAAAAAUAAAUAUCUCUUUUGUCCUUAAUUUAAAAACAAAUAAGAAAUAUUGGUGAUAUGAUAGAGGGGUAUAUUUGAAAAGACCAAAAGUCAAAAUACUUUUGUAUCCCUAACUUAGGAGCAAAUAAAAAAAGUGAUCGAUGGGUAAAGGGUAUAUUAAAAGGCAAAAUAGUAAUUUAUAUACCGAUAACAGUUAUUAUUAAUAGUUUAUAAUAUAUUUAACUCUAAAAAUAAUUUAAAUGUAAAAACUGUAUUUUCAAUAUUAAACUUCUAAGAUAUGUAAAUUAGAAAAUCGAAAAUUUUUCCUAAACUAUUUAUAAUAUAUAUUAUAUAUAUAUAUAUAUAUAUAUAUAUAUAUAAAUACGUAUACACGUGGAGACAAGAAUCCGUACAAAAAACAAUUUUGGACGUAUACGUUAAUGUUUACUGUUCACUAUUUGAGUAGCUUUCCAUGAUAAAUAAAUAAAUAAAUAAUAAAAAACAAAAAAAAUAAUAAUAUAAUAAUAUAAUAUAAUAAUAAGCAAUAAUUGAGUAGGCAUGUACAGUGUUAGGGUGGCCCAUAGGCCAUAGCUAGCAAAAGAUAAUAAUAAUAAUAAUAAUAAUAAUAAUAAUAAUAAUAAGUAGUGUUACGUAUCUUUUAAAAUAUUUUUUACGUGAAUUUAAAUACGGACAUAAAAUAUAUAAAUUUAAAUUAAUUCGUACAUAUUCUAUUAUUAAUUAAAGGGCAUGUACAACGCAUGUUACAUUUACUUUUAAAUAGUUAAUUUAAAAUAAUUCUAAAAUUUAAAAAUAUAUCGUUUUGAGAACACAAUUUUAACUAGAAAAACUAUAUGCAUAUUAUAUAUAUAUAUAUAUAUAUAUAUAUAUAUAUAUAUAAUAUAUAUAUAUAUUAUAUAUAUAUAUAUCUUUUUUCUUAAAUUCCAAAUAGAUUAUUAACACAUAGUUAUUGUAACAUAUAAAGUUUUCAAUGAUAAAUGAUAAAUUCGUAAAGAUUAAAUGGAUUCGUGGUUGUUUUUUUUUUUUUUUUUUUAUUUGGGAAAGUUUAGUUGUGGGAGCCUAAUAUUUGGAAAAUAGUAGAGAUUUUGCUGGUAAAAAAUUUUAUUUUUGUGAGUUAAUUUUUUUUUUUCCAAUCCUCCCAAAAAUUGUAAUUAGAUGCUCCUCUUAGAGGAAUAAUUUUAUUCUAUUACAUCAAUUUAAUUAUGUCAAAAAUUAAAUUAUUAUAAAAGAAAUAUUUUAUUACAAUAGUUUUUGUCGUCGUGAUAACACAAAUCAUAUUAUUUAGUUAUUUAUCACCACGAAAAUUUAUAGAAAUAAUUUACAACGAUUCUCAUUUGUUGUAAAAAAAUUAUUAUUUCAACUAAUAAUUAUCAAUUAUAACAGUAUUUAUUGAUAGAAAAGAAUAAAUCUCAACUUAAUUUAUAAGGUUAAAUGCAUAUAGGUCCCUGCAUGCAAAUAUAGUGAAUUAUAAAUAUAUUCCUCCAAAGUUCAACUUUUAAUAUUUUUAAAUAUGUCCCUCUGAUUGAUUUAUUACCGUUAAAACACUGUCUAUUUUUUAAAUAAAAUGAUCUUUUUGCAAUCACAAAUAUGUUCCUUAAAAAAUUCCUAAUUCUUAAUUAAAGAGGGAUAAAAAGGUCAAUUCACUUUAUUAACUAAUCAGGGUUAAGUAUUUAAUCUAUAGUUAACUAAAUUUUUCUAACAGAUUUUAACGGCAGAGAUAUAUUUGAAAACAUCAGGAUUUUUGGAGAGGCAACAUGUGAAAAUUGAACUUUGUAGGGAUAUAUAUUUGCAAUUCAUUAUAUUUGCAGAGACCUGCAUGCAAUUAACCCUAAUUUAUAAUUUACUUUUUUUUCUUUUUCUAAUUUCCAUUUUUUAAAUUUGUUUUUACAGUUUCGUCCCUCGAGUGCUUUUGACACGACCUACACCACCACCAACGCGGGUGGGCCCGUGUGGAAUGACAAUGAAGCCCUUACUGUGGGACCCAGAGGUGUGCUUAAUUAAAUUCCACAUUUUAUUUUAGACAAAAUGCAGAAAACUUUCGUGUAAAUACUCGUUCUUUAUUUUUUUUAUUUAUUUUUGCUAACUUUUAAAUUUUGAUAUUUUACUUUCUUAAAAUUUUAAGUCGUUGCAUAAAGCAUCAACUCCGUUACGAUUCUGUCACUAUUCAGUUCAAUUUUUAUGAUCUAUAUUAAAAAUAUUCUUAAAAAUAAUAAAAAUAUAUUAGAAAAUAAGAGUAAUUUGGUCAUUUCGUCCUUUCCAUUGACACUAUAACCUUCUGGAAAUAUUUUUGAAAUUUUAAGAGGAGAAAAUAUUAAUUUUUUAAAAGCCAAAUAGAAAAAAUAAAAAAAAUGAGUAUUUACAAGAGAAUUUUUUUGUAUUUUAGCCUGAUCUGUGCUAAUUCUUACGUUUUGAUAAUCAAAUUUCUAAAUUUUGACAUUAUUUGUUUAGCAUUCAAACGGUUUUAAAAUAAAUAAUAUCCACAGGUGUAGUUAGGAAUUGGAUUUGAUCGAAACUGCAGUCGAUUUAAGUGUAUUUGCAACUACUACAGUUGAGCCCCUUCGUACAGUUUCGACUAAAGGAGUUGAAUUCAAAUACACUGAAUCAAACGUCAUGUUUGAUUCUAUAAUAUUCAAUUAAGAUUACAAUACAGUCACAACUGCGUGCAACCAAACAACUUUUGUCUGCCGCUAAUAAGCUUAAGCAAAAAGAGAGCCAAUGAACGACGGUGUUUCUAUUUGUGUUGACGAUGGAUGAUUGGUGGGUCAGGGCCGAUCCUGUUGGAGGAUUAUCAUCUGAUCGAGAAGAUCGCACACUUCGCGCGGGAACGGAUACCGGAGAGGGUGGUGCAUGCUCGGGGGGCGAGCGCGAAGGGGUUCUUCGAGUGCACGCACGACGUCACCGGCCUCACCUGCGCCGACUUCCUCCGCGCCCCCGGUGUCCAGACUCCCGUCAUUGUCCGCUUCUCCACCGUCAUCCACGAGCGCGGCAGCCCCGAGACCAUCCGCGACCCCCGUGGUUUCGCCGUCAAGUUCUACACCCGCGAGGUAUAUAUGAUCGAUCUUUGGAGUAAUGUGGUAAUGUUAGAUGAGCUGGAGGUUCCAAUUACGGAAAAAAUUACAUAGGCGAUCCUCCCCACAGAGAGACGGUUGAUCAGACAAUCUCUUCUCCUACCAAAAUCACAGAGACACAGUUUGAUUAACCAUUCAUCACGCCCAAUGCACGAAUCUUAAAAUAAUAGUACAUGAUAGAUCAAACAAUCAUUUUUUUCGAGCGAAAAUAUACGCAGGAGACUCCUCCGCCCCUAUAGAGGGACGAUUUGAUCAACCAUCCAUCACAUCCAAUACACGGAUUUUAAAAUAAUAAUGAAUGAUUUCAUUACAUGCAAUGUACGAAUCUCAAAGCAACAAUGAAUUGUUGACCAGAUUAUCUCUCCUUUGAAUAGACAUUACAUGAAAAGAACCUCUCUAAGAAGAGAAGGUUUAAACAACCGUCAACUCUAUCGAACUUAGAAUCUUCUGCGCUGUUAAAAGAAGUUACAUCUAUUCUACCCCUCGCAGGGCAACUGGGAUUUACUGGGCAACAACUUCCCAGUAUUCUUCAUCCGCGAUGGCAUCAAAUUCCCCGACGUGAUCCACGCAUUCAAGCCAAACCCUAAAUCCCACAUCCAGGAAUACUGGCGCGUGUUCGACUUCCUCUCCCACCACCCGGAGAGCCUCCACACCUUCUGCUUCCUCUUCGACGACGUCGGCGUCCCCACCGACUACCGCCACAUGGAAGGGUUCGGCGUCAACACUUACACCUUCAUCAACCGCGCGGGGAAGGUGCGUGCAUGCACGCUGCAAAACAACCGAUUACUCUAAAAGUUUAAGCUGUUGUCAGAGGACGUACGUAUGAUGUUUUUAGUCUCUUGUAUGAAUAUAUAUAACAGGCACACUAUGUCAAGUUCCAUUGGAAGCCGACGUGCGGUGUGAAGUGCCUGAUGGAGGACGAGGCGGCGGUGGUCUGCGGGCGGAACCACAGCCAUGCGACGCAGGAUCUGUAUGACUCUAUUGCUGCAGGGAUUUACCCCGAAUGGAAGCUCUACGUUCAGGUCAGAUGAAAUUGCGAGUGUUUUUAGAUAACAUGGUAUCAGAGCUAACGUAUCUUUUCUUUUUGUUAGUACCAUAAAAUUCGUACAAUAAUGAGCGACAAGACGACCUUUCAGGGUUUGUUUUUCUAACAGAUCGAUCUUUUGGGCGGUGUAGGUCAUGGACCCGGACCACGAGGACCAGUACGACUUCGACCCGCUGGACGACACCAAGACAUGGCCCGAGGACCUGCUGCCGCUGCAGCCGGUGGGGCGGCUGGUGCUGAACCGCAACAUCGACAACUUCUUCGCCGAGAACGAGCAGCUGGCCUUCGGGCCGGGGCUCGUCGUGCCGGGCAUCUACUACUCCGACGACAAGAUGCUGCAAUGCCGGGUCUUCGCGUACGCCGACACGCAGCGGUACAGGCUGGGCCCAAACUACCUGAUGCUGCCAGUGAAUGCACCAAAGUGUGCCCUGCACAACAAUCACUAUGAUGGGCUCAUGAACUUCAUGCACAGGGAUGAAGAGGUAAAACCAUCUACUUAAAUGCCAUUAUUGUUUAUCAUUAUUAUUAAUAUAACAUGGUUUAUCCAUAAUUGUUCUUUUUUUUACUCUUUUUUUUUUAAUCUUUUGUGUUUUUUUAUAUGUAGGUGGAUUAUUUCCCUUCUAGGCAAACUCCUCUUAGACAUGCAGAGAGGUUUCCGAUCCCGACCCGGCCCGUCACCGGCCGCCGCGAGAAGGUAGUGACAUUUCUAACCUCAUAAAAUCCCACUAUCAUGUAUUCAGUAGAAGCAAAUGCAGAGUCUGCAUUACUUUGUAGCUCAUAAAAUCCCACUAACAUGCCAAAUAAUUACAAUCUUAUGAAGUUUCACUUAUAAAUUAUGAUCUUAAACAUUGAGAUCUCAUAAUCAUCUAUCUUUUUCUAUGUUACAGAUUACAAUUCACAAUUUCUAUGUUACAGAUUACAAUUCACAAGCAAAAUGACUUCAAGCAGCCGGGAGAGCGAUAUCGGUCGUGGACGCCCGACAGGUAAGCCACUUGCAAAAGAUUAAACUUUACUUGAGAAAAAGAGCACAAAAGAUUAAACUGAAUCAUUGAUUUGUCGAUCUUAACUUGUAUUCGCAGGCAAGAUCGCUUCGUCCGUCGAUGGGCAGAGGCUUUGGGCCAUCCCAAGGUCAGCCACGAGCUCCGCAGCAUCUGGAUCUCUUACCUCUCUCAGGUCAGUCCCUGUAAUUCAUGCCAUUGAUCACAAAAGCACCGAAAAAGCAAAGAGAAAAAACUUACUGAACAACAAUAGGUCGAGAAAACCACAAAAUUCAAGAACUUACACAUCAACUUGAUUCUUCCGAUGAAUCUUCGGUUUGUCAAUAAUUGUUGCAUUUGUCUGUGCAGUGCGAUACGUCGUUGGGCAUGAAGGUGGCGAAUCGCCUCAAUGUGAAACCAAGCAUGUGAUGAGAGAUGCAGCAGCUAUCAUGUAUUCAGUAGUUUUUAAGUUUCCUGCAAUGAAGAGUCUCUCCUCCUGUUGUAUUUCCAUAAUAAGACUACUUCAAUGUAGCCUCUGCUCCCUCCACUGUAUUCCUCAUCUCAUGGAAAUGGAUGUUCUCAAGUACAUAUUCUUGUGAUGAGAUAUCAAUGGAAUCUAUGGUCGUAUUCCGUCUGAUAUAUCAUCUGUUUAGUUGCAUAAAGUUUUCGGCAACAACAUAUAACCUCAAUUGAAGAGCACAAUGAGAAUGAGACAAUGUGAUUCAGUGUUGGAUUGGAAGUUCAAUUUGCAGAGUUAAAAUCAGAAAUAGAUUCAAAUAAUUCAGAUGCUAAAAAUGAGAUUAAUGCAAUUGGGAUCCUUGACAUAAAGGAAACUGAGACCAGAUCACCUUCUCACAAUGGAACUGCAAUAAUCUGCCAGAUGAGAAAGGACCAUUUGAGCUCACCUGAGAACACACAAAUGCAUCAAUCCAUUAAAAACAGCAAGAAUUCACUAAAGACUUCGGCGGAGAUUUCUAACUACAUAUGUAUAUAUACAUACAUUUACAUACGUAAAAGAGCAGUGCAGUUCACACAAACAACUUACCCCCAAUUUUUCGACUACUAAUCAAGAGAACAGACUAAAAGAGACGAAAGAAUAAAUCUCUCCCACAACAAGCGGGCGAUUAAAAUCUAUAAGCCACGAGCAUUCCCUGAGAGUCAUCAACAUAAAUUUAAUGUGCCUAAAAAUUAUUAGUUUAAUGCCCACAAUGUUUUAUUACUGAGACAAUGCCUUGGAUUAAUUUAAUCGAAUUGUGAAAUUUGGCCUUAUUAUGCCAAUUCCCUGAAGAUCAUGUUAUUCUUCCUUGGAGAAUAAGUUGCUCUCCGGUUAUUCUCGGCUUGGAGAAGCAGAAGCUGUAGCAGAAGCUGUUUUCGCAUUUUCUGCUUCAUCGCCUGCUGCUCCUGCCCCAGCCUGCUUAUCCGGAACAGCUAGUUGCAGAAUCCCAUUCUUCUCAGCCAACUGUGAAAGCCCUUUUAUUCGUUUGAAUCUUUUCUUCGAUAUUACCGCCCCACGGUGAAAAAAGUAACCAAGCAAAGAGUCAUCUCCGGGGAGCGCUUCGACCCCAGCAAGCCGUUUUGAUGCUCGGCGAGUCAUGGAAUCAGAACUUUCAGAUUUAACCCCAUCACUUGAGCCCGAUUGGUCCUCUCCUGAAAAAAGCGGCUUCUUAUCUUCUGACACAGCUGGUUUCUCUUCAGCCGGUGAGAGCACCACAUUCUCUUUCUCCUCAAAAUCAGCAUCUAGAAUUGAUGAAUUCCCCUCUUCUCCUUCAUCAUUUAUUUUUGGCUUUUCUUCAAGCUCAAGCUGCUUUUGCUUUACUGGGUCAAAUGGUAUUAUAGCUGAUUCUUCAAUUAACUUUUGACUUUCCUCAUCUUGCUUUGAUCCAUAUUCGCCGAGCUCUUUUGGUUUGUUUUGUGAGGAUUCGUUCAUUUUUGCCCUUUUCUUCUUCUUCUUCACCUUCUUCGUUAUCUUUAAGGGAUCAUCCUUCGCGCGGUCCAACAACUUCAUUUUCUUCUUUAUUUUCUUCUUUAUCUUCUCUACAAGGCUGGCAUCCAAUUGCAACCGGAGAGGAGUACUUUCUUCACCUGAAAUUCAAAUAGCUCAAAUUAGCUGAUGAUUGCACAUUAAGAUGAAAUUCACAUUUACAAAAGCAUAGAAGUCACUUUGGGUUUGGAUGCAAUCAAAAUGUGCUUAACAUGGAUCCAAAUAUUUCUUGCAUACCCUGUAAAAUAUCAUGGUGAGCCGAAAAUAAAAUCAAAAUUUGGAAAUAAAGGAGAUCGUUGGUCGACAAGUCACUUCCAGGAAAAUUUUGUAAUGAUAAGCAGAUAAGCUAUUGGAUGUCAUGCAGUAAUACUAAGACCUGAAUUUAUUAUCAAUAUACUACAAUAAUGAGCAAUGCUAUCUGAACAGCCGCUAUAUAGUUUAUUAUAUAUACGUGUCAAACAAGGGACCAAUCCAAUUCACAGGCGGAGGAAAUUUAGAAGUAGCAGCAUGGUUGACUCCAUUUCAACCAAGGACAACACCAGAAGGUUUGAUAUGCAUCUCAAAGGUCGUGGUUUUAUCGUAUCUGGUAUGAUAAAGCACCUAGUCAAGGAGCACCUGACUCCCAAGCCUGACAGACAGUUAGUCAGAUGCCUAUAUGCAACAAUAGUUUUUCCUUCUCCUGGAUUUCUUCUAGCUAAAUUAAACAUCAAUAUACGGGUCGGGCCAACUCUCUACAGCCGAAAGGGAAAUUUCGACCAGCUCGAGAUACAGGCGACUUAGAGCCCGCAUUUGGCAAUGUGGUUUAACAAUUUGCAAUAGGUGGCUUGAUAUAUCGGGGCUUUUACAUAUACAUCCCUGCAAAAUCAUCUAGUUGCACAUAUAUUCUUCUAAUCUAAAGUCUGAUAUAAACCCCUAGCACGUGUAGUUUCUUCCAAGUCAUCCAAUUCAUGGGGUGAAGUUGACUUUGCAUUAGAAGUUUUUUUUUUUUCUUAGGUGCAUUUUAGGAAGUACGAGGGUAUAUUUGUAAGAAAGUAAGUUUUUGGCGGAUAAAUAUGAAAGUUCAAAAUUCACAGUUGUCGGGGAUAUAUGUUAGUAUAAAAUCUUGAAGGGGUAUACCUCAAAUUUUCUGUAACAUAAUUGACAUAAGUGGUGCAUUUAGUUCUAAAGAAACCUGUUCAAAGGAAUAACUUCCUCAGGAGCAACAGAAGUUCUAUAGUGGAAAACAACUUUUUCAAUUUCAUUGGUAAAAAAAGUGUAAGAACUUACAAUCAUCAGGGGGUUCCUCCUUUAUCACCACUUGUCUGUUGAAGGUCGGUGCCUGUCCCGUAAAAAGGCAUUGCCUCACAUCAAUGGCUGGUGACUUCGGCUUCUCGGCUGAAGUACGACGGCACUGAUGGAAAAAACAUCAAUCAGAAACAAGACCAGGAGAUGACCAAGAUUUUCCAAGAACCAAAACUUAUGUCAUAACGAAAAUAUUUCCUGAUAGGUAUGUUUACACAUAUACCACUGGAGGGGUGGAAUAUUGCCCAUUAAAAUAUAAAUUUUCGUAUAUGCCCUUCAAAAACUUAAUUUCUUACAAAUUUACCCAUGCACCUAUAAAGAUGCUCGUCUUUGAAAGCCUUUCCUAAAGAAAAACAAUUUCCCCUAUAAACUGGACAAGUUCCCAAUUUAAGAUCAAGAUAUUUUGCAUGAAAAUCCACUUUUGGGUUUGUAUGUCUAAAAAAAAAGAUUUUAAAGAGGCUACAUGUGUAAAUUCUAAAUAGAUAAUUUUAAAGGGAUGUAAUAACUAGAAGUGGCAGAAGGUGGAAAAACCAAAAUCAUUUAGAUGCUUCAUGUUAUAGAAAAAACAAAGCAACAGUUGCAACAAGAAGUUAGGGUAAGAAAAUGAGCAUGGCAUAGAAAAAUUGUGCGAAUAAGUAUACUAGCUCAGCAAGAAAAGAAAAGGAAAACAGCUUCAACUAGCUCCAAAUAAAAGCAGUAGUUUUGAGCACCUCGUUACAAUGUACUUAAAAUUACUGGUUUAUGCAAAUGUAUUAGCUAUAUCAAAAUGAGCCGCAUAUUUAUAGGUCUGAUAAAAUUGUCUUAAUAUAGUUAACAGAAUUUAUAUUAGAGAAAUCUCAUCUAAUACAAAUAGUAGAACACAUAUGGAUGAGCACACAGGCACAUGUUGACCUAUGAGAUAACCAAAGGGGCAUUCUUUCAACAAGUAAAAUUCAAAAAAGAGAAAAGGAGAGAUUAAAUCAUACUACUUGGAAAAGACGACAAACAAAAGCAAAUCAGAUAUCGAGGAAGCAGUCUUCUUUGCACGCUAACUGACACAUGAGUUUUGGAAUUCUAGGAAAACUGUGAAGGGCAACAAAAUAAGUAUGAAUAGGUCAUAGUCUUGCAUAUAUCUCUCGAUGCUGCAUACAAUGAAGUAUGUUGAUAUGUUAAUCCCUCCAAUGUUGAAAAUUUUCUCAUACAUGAAGUUUUAGGCCAUCUUAAAGGUCGAUGUGAUUAAAUUGAAAGAUAACAAAAAUAAAUCUAAUCUCAAAACUUUCCUCUUAAUGAAAGAAAUGUCAAGUGUUAUAUCUAUACUCUAAAAUCAACCUAAAACAACUCAAAUAGGCAAACAAAGAACCAGCCUAAAGUACUAAGAGAUUCAUAUAUACAACAAACAAUCAACAGUUGCGGAAUUCUAUUUCACAGUUUCAAAAGGUUUUUCGUAGCUUCACCCAGACAAAUUUUAUCUAAGAAGCUGAUCUGGUAGCUUAUCUUUAAAUAAAAUCCACGGAAAUCUUCUAGAUAAACACAAAAGAAUACCACCAUCUAUUACAUUAACUAGUCAAGUUUCAAAUUUUUUCACAACCAGCAACUCAGGCGUCGAGUUGCAAUAUUCAAUGAAAAUAUUCUUAGAAAAAGUCAAAUGACAUAUAAAAGUAGCAAAUGGGAAACAACCCAAUUCCAGGAUUUAUGGAUUCAAAUAUUAUAUGCUUACAUGAACAAAUGAUCUACAAUAUAAAACCUUUGAUUUCUGGACACGUCACUUUAGGUAAGUACUUACAAUCCACAACAAGAUAAGAUUAAAAAAUUACUUCAGUCACGUCCACAACAAGGAAGCAAAAGAGAGAAGCAUGUGAUAGCAAAAUUUGUAUAUCCAGGAGAUUUAAUUUCAGAAUACAGAAGGCGAACAAAGCAUAUAGACACAAUUAUAUAUGGUAAUCAAAUUAGGGAAAUAUUAGAUUAGGUGAGGAAAACAAUAUAGUGCGCUAAACUUAAAAAAUCACGUCUAAGUUGUGCAUGCUGAAGAAGACAAAAAUACAAAAAACAUGCCCGGUUAAAGGCUUCUUUCUAUCUGUCCACAGCCUUGACAUGUUAAUUGUUGCAAGUUAGGUUGUACCAUUAAGGAAGAACAGUAUUCUAUUAAUUUAGAUGCAAGGUUUGCUUAUUUUAAACAACAGUAACCGUGAUCGAACUAUGUAACUAUGUUAUCGUUCUUCACCACCGAAGAGUUCUAUUUAUGUGCAAGCAUAAAAUGUCUCUCCCUUUAUUAUGCACAGCUUUCAACAGAUGAGAUAAAUUAACAGCUAGAAAGCCACAUCCUUUAAAAAUAGCAAGAAUCCUCGAAAGGAGGAUCAAAGAAAAAGAUAGACCCAGUGAUGAGAGACAAAAGAAGGAAAAGCAACCAGAUUGGUACCCGUCUAGAAGAUCCCAUGCCGACAACAUAAGUCUCAAUGAUACUUUGUCUUGGUCUAAAUGCAUGUUUGCUUAUUUCUCCAGUUUCAACAUAGCGACUAACAUCCUUUAAGGUUCGAAACACAAGUCCACUUGCUGGUUCAGUAUAAUACUGCAGAAUAAUAUUGACUAUAGUCAAUAGACAGAAAAUAAAGAUGAAACAACUAAAGAAAGGGGAUGUGCCGAAACAGGUCGCUACUAGUAUAUAUAGAAUAUCGCAAAGGAAAUGUUAAUUCAACAAAUAUGUGGAAGAAGGGGCAGAACACAGGAUAUCCUAACAUUAGCAAUAGACUAUAAUCAACUGGGAAGCAUAUGCCCAGUUGAAAGAAUAUAGAAGGGCUUCUACGAAGCAGGCAAGUGUUAGAGAUAAAGAACUAUCGGCUGGAGAAAGCUUUAUUUCCAUAAUCCCUUGGCAGCUAACUCUUUAUAAACUAUGAAAUGGCAGUGCCUAACACCAAUACAGAAAACUACUUGAUAAAACUGUAAUAGAUCCAAAGACAAAAACUGUAAAUGUAAUAUGAGACCAAAAUUACCAAAACUAUGGCAGCUGACAAGCCGCAUUACAUUUCCAAAACAGGAAAAUAUAUGUUAAUAUUUAGGGUUUAAUCUUAGAUGCCAUUAACAAGCAUUGCACAACCUUAAAACAAUAAUAGCAAAAUCAGAAGUUCGUAAUUGAAUUAAGCCAGUAUAAUUCAACUAAGAUAUUCUCUGCAUGUAGCAACAACAGCUGGGAUUCUGUAACAGAAAAGAAAUCCAAUUUGUAUGCUACCGGAUCUUUUCUGGUUCCAUGUUCGCAAGGGAAUUUUCUGAAUUUUGUUAGCUUAACCCAUCCGUUGGGCAAUCCUUCUGGGGAAUACUCAAUUUGAGCAAAGAUCUGGCAAACAAAAUCAUAAACCAAAAGUUCAUAUUCAUGCAGAAAGUAGAAGUGAAUAAUAAAUAAUAAGCAAAUGUAUCUUGAAACAGAAGAAAAAAAAAAAAAGGCUCUGAAAAGCUGCGGACAUUGUCAAUAGCAUCGGCAUUGCAAUUUCUUUCUAGAUCAGAAAUGGAAUUUGGAAGCGUCCCCUCCUCCAAGUAGCAAAGUACAUCUUCCUUGGAAAAGAAUCUGUACUCGGUCACCGGAUCGAUGUAACACUACAAAAAUAAAUUCAAGCAUCCAUUAGUUUGUAAAUACUUUGUUCCAUGCAGAACAGACUAUCCUUUCAUUCUAAUGAAGCAUAUAUUGAUUCAAGAAAACUCAUUCCAGUUUACUUUACGGACGCUAGUCAUGGAAACCCUUUAACUGUCAAAAUUGGUUAUAUAGAGAAUAUAUCAAAGGAGGGAGAAAUUGUUGGAGUUACAAUUAUGGAAGUUUAUCUCCAUCUAGUACCCAUGAAAAUUAGCAUUCACGUAGUUGAUUGUAAAAAAUAAGACAGCUGUUGUCAAAAGAGCCAUCUUUCAUACUGCUAAAGAUAGUAUCACUUGAAAAAAACAAAGAGAGAUUUUUCCUUUUUUCUUUUUAUUACUAAUUCUAGUGUUGGAGCAAAAGGAAUGAAAAGCAAAACAGGAAAAGAAAAUAACUCGUGAUUGAGCUGAGAUGGAUUUAUGAAUUUCUAGCUGUUCUAAUUUUAUUCUUCCACUACACUUAUAUGCCACUGAAGUCCAUCCUGGUUUCACUACAACAUUGAUCUAAAAUAUAUAUAUAUGAUUAUUAACUAUCAGAAGUUCCCGCAAAUAAAUUAAUGUUACUUUCCUUAUUUAUCAGUUGAACAACAGUCAACUAAGUCUUACUUCUCGCAAAUAUUUCACUCAUAACAAAAGUCAAAUUUGCUGCAUUUUUAGGACAGAAGGAUGAUCAUAUAGUCCCUACAAAGCAACAUUAUUAAUUGUCAAGCCCUAGAUUCCACUUCUUAUGUUUAUUUCCAUCCUGUCUAUUAGCUCUGUAUUUAAUUUGAUUAAUCCUCUUUCUCUUUCACCGCAGUUAGAAGAGGUAACAGCCAUAAGUGGUGAUAAUGGCAUAAGAAAAUAGGAAGAGAUUCCAAACCUCAAUCAAGUGCAAAAUGCAACAAAGUUUAUGUAAGAAUUAUGUGCUAUAAGUGUCCAAUCAUACGAAGUUUAUAAUGUAAUACUAAGUGGUGCGGCAGCUAAGCCUUCAUCCAAAAAACUGUGCUACCAAUUUCAGGAAAAGAGAAAACAUGUGCAAAUAGAAUUAUAUGUGAAAUGCCUGCACAAAGAAAUGUUAGAAUAGGGACUAUAUUAACUGCAAAAUAGGUUUAGUUUACAAAAAAGAAAUGAGCUUACAUUAGAAAGUAUCUAUUUACCUUGUAUCUUUCCUCUGCUUCUGUACCACUUCCUCUACUUCUAAUUUCCAAGAUCCAUCCAGAAGGCAGCCAUCCAAGUGAAUUGUCAGCUGACACAACAAGCUAAAUGCACAGACUAUAAGAAUUGUUUCACAAAAAAAAUAGAGAGAGAUUUUACUUGAAUUAAUAACGUACUUGCAUUUUCUCAUCUUCAGGACAUGCUCUCGUCUCCAAAGCAGCAUGAUCAACCUCCAUAAAAUUAAGGUGGUGCAGAACUUCAUUUCUUGAACAAAAUGUAGAUCCAGAGAUUGGAGAAGUAUAAUACUACAUAAUUUAAAGAGGAAAACAACCUUAGUACUGUUAUUGAGUAAUUUGCAUCACUGUAGCCAGUACUAUCUUCUUGCUCCAAGCAUAACCAGGAUUUUUUUGAAUGGUCCAGCAGAAUAAAUUUAGAAUAAAGAGUUAGCGACCGCAAGAUCAAUCUUCUACAAUUAAGAAACAAACAAGUACAGGAAGAAUCAAGUGUAGGAAAAAAAAUCAUCUAGAAGUAAAGCUAAUCUCAAGCACAAUCAUUGGAGUAUGAGUCACUAGUUAGUUCACAAUCUAUUAAUGUGUAAUAGGAAAAGCCAUGCUAGAUAUGAAACGAUGCAAAUUAAAGGCAAGAAUCUUAUCAACUUGUUUAGGUAACCAUCUUUUUUUUCUUUGUAAGAAUUUCUUAUGACUUGCAUGUUGCACACAGGCAUUUUGCACCUACAAAAGUUUAUGUUGCUAAAUUUAACUUUCCUAGUCUCCAAUAUUUCAGGUUAUGUUCGUUGAAAAUGAGUUGUAAUUUUUAUUUGUUGUACUCGUAUUUUUUUCCUUGAAUAUAUGAUUCUGCAGUUGCACUUUCAUGCCCUUAUUCGGUUGAAAAGAAAACAAGGAAACUUUGUUACUAACACACGCAUCUUCUCUUUUAGAAGUAUAUGUAAGCCAAAACACUGGCUUAAAAGCAAUUUCUGCAAGAAAUGUACUCGAUCCGUUUCUUUUAUUCGAGAGGUACCAUUUUAAUGUUUGCUCAAGUUCUUCUCAAGAAAGGAGUGACUGUAAAUCCAUGUGUUUGACACUAUCCGUAGUGCGACCAGUAGUCUUCAGAAAUAGAUAAAAAUGUAUAGAACUUACCUCAACUAUCACCCAUUUUGGUCUGUCUACCUAAUCAUUAAAAGUUUUGAUUUUACUAUCUAACCUUUUAAUUUAUUUGAUUUGAGCCAAUUAAUAACUCUUAAACUUCAAAAUUUGAAUGCGCCGUCUAUCUAUAUGUGUUUAAUUAAUAAAUUUUAUGCAAUUUAUGUAGCUAUAAAUUCAUUAAAGUAAGUAGUUAGCUUAAAUUUUGUAUUGGAAGAACCAUUAAAUGGCUUAAAUCCAAUGGAUUGAAAGGUUGGGUACUAAUAUCAAAAUUUUGAAAGGCUGGGUAGUCGAAUCACAUGGUCUAAAGUUCACAUAAGUUCUAUACAUUUUUACCUCAGAAGUAAAGUCUUGACUCUACCUUUAGGUUUACUUUGUAGAUGAAUAUAGAGAUGUGGAUGCAUUUAAAAUGUGCAUAAAUAAUGAACAAAUCCCAUUAGCUCAUAAGAUUUGUUUAAAAAAAAAAAAAAAAAACUCCAUAUGAUGAUUGUGAUAGUUGCAUGACACACAUGCCUGGAUACUAUAAGUAGCUUAAAGAAAUCAAUAUAAAACUAUCUAUUUAUCGCCAAAAUUAGCAACUUUGCUCAAGGAACCCAUACAUGGCUUGUCAAAAGUGAACAUAUAGCCCUACAAACUCGAUCACUUGAUACCAAACAAGCGAUUGCCCGAACAUUCUAAACUCAUAAAUAUUAGGCGAGAGUGAGUUGCCAAAAUGAGCUUUUCUGAUCCAAGAGAAGCUCCAACUUGAAGCUUCUUCUUCUAGAUUCUGCAAGAAGCCAUUGGGCACUUCAAUUAAAAAUAGUUGUUACUUGUUACUCUACUCAAACAACAUUUGCGCAUAAACUAUACCCGCGCCAAAUAAGCCCACAUAAUUAGAGAGUCAUUUGUUAUACAGGAAGAGCAAUAUUCUCCUCAUGAAAAUUCAUAUAUUUCCUUCUCAGACACUUGAUCCAUUAGUACUAGUAUCAUUACAACCUAAAGUAGUGAUCUUGCAAAAUAAUAAUAAUAAUAAUAAUAAUAAUAAUAAUAAUAGCAACACUAAAUUUAGAAAAAAAAAAAGGAGCUAUCCCUACUUCUCCACUGUUUCAUUAAGCACUUCGGAGCUUAAACCCUAAUCAACAUGCCUAUUUCUCUCCCACUUUUCCUAAUUAGGAAACCGAGAGGCCGCAAAACCUACUGAUCCACCCAGAAACCACCCAAAUUCGACACAUAUGUGGCGAAAAAUGAGAGCACGAGAUCAAAAACUCCACAACUUUGCAAACGAAAAUCGAUCGAUCGCACCAAAAAUCAGGGUUUUGCAGUCGGAGCCAUACAUGAUACAGGGACCCGCUCUUCCUCCCCCUCCUGACCUCCAUGAUCCACCCAUCGGGGAGCCACUCGGGGGGCUCGUAGGACAUCACCGGGGGAGGGCAAUGGGCGGCCGUCGUCGUCGUCAUCGGCGGCUAGGGUUAGGGUUCCGGCGGCGCCGCCCCUGGCGGCGGCGGAGGCGAGCUCGGACGUGGCAGAGGGAGCAGAGAAAAGAGUGCGGAGUUGUGGAGUGUUCGAAUAUGGAAAGGUUUUAAGAUUCGCUUUUUCACAGUGGAAAAAGGGGGAGAUUUUUCGCAGAUUGCUCCUCGUACUAUUGAAAAAUUCGUUCUUAGUGACCUUAAAAUGUUCAAAAAUAAAAAUUGUAAAAAUGUAUUAAAACACCUCGACUAUAUGAUAUUCUGCAAUUGGCCCACAAUAUUUUUUUAUUGACACCUCCUUCAUUUCCGUUUUUUUUAAUUUAUAUUUGUAUGUAGAUACCCAUAACAAAAUACGGUACUAAAAAGUAAACUUCCACGUGCACACAAAUAAAUAUAAACUUUUGCAAGAUUAUUUGUGCAAUUUCACAAUCUCCAAAGCCAAAGCAAAAAAUUUAUUUACCGUUUUACCAUUUCCAAAGCUCCACGUCAGCAUGCAGAGGGUUCUCUUGGCCAAAAUUUGCUAUUUUUGCCUCCAAAAGAUUAAAACUAACAAUUACACCCUCGGCUUCAUUUCGAAAUUAAUCCUGCCUAGUGUUUGAUGCUCUCCUUAAAUUCCACCUUGAAGUAGGGGUGUAAACGAGCCGAACACUAGCAAGCUGGGGUCGGCUCGGUUCGGCUCAUUUAUUAAACGAGCCGAAUACGAGCUGACUCGUUAAAGUAUCGAGCCGAAAAAUUCAGCUCGUAGCUGAACACAAUCUGGCCCACGAGCUGACCAACAAACAAUAAAUUAAAAAGAAUUAGAUUAAAUAUAUAUAAAAAGUAAAUUUAUAAAAUCUUAUUCAUUAGACUUUGAUCUAAUAGUUAAAACUUUACAUAUAAAUAGGUCUUUUUAUAAUUAAGCUCGCAUUUAUAUUUUUAUUUUACUAAAAUUUAAACAAUAAAAAUAUAUAUUAUAUAUAAUUAUUUAUUUAUAUAUAAAAAUAUAAAUUAUAUAAAAUUAUAUAAAUAUAUAAUAUAUGUAUUCGAGCUGUUAUCGAGCCGAACACAGCGAGCUGACCUCAGCUCGUGUUCGGCUCGUUUAUUAAAAUAGCUAAAAAAUUCAGCUCGUGUUCGGCUCGUUUACUAAACGAGCGAGCCGAUCUCGAGCUCAUUUCGAGCCGAACACACUGGCUCUGAACAGGGAACUGGAUUGCCACCCCUACCUUGAAGUGACUGAUGUAAUAUAUUCCUAGUUUUUUUUUUUUUUUUUUUGAUCUUUCCAUUAUUAGAUACUAAAGUGACUACAAAUUUAUACACAUAUAAUCAUCACACACAAUUACAAUAUAAAAGGGACCGAUUAAACCCCCUAGGGUUGGUAAUCCUGCAGGCUGUUCGUGAGUCAGUGUUCGCAAGUCAGUGGGCUUGAAAUAAUUCGAAUAUAUAUAUAAUAUAUUUUUUGUACUUUCGAAAGUACGAAGACGUCUGUAUUUACAAAUUAUUUUUAAUGAUAAAAUAUUCGAUUUAAUGAUCAGCUUUAUUAAGUAUAAUCUACGCUAUUACAAUUUUUUAGAAACUAAUUUUAUAAUUUUUUAAUAUUGUUUACCAAGUGAUCAAUGAGUCUCAAAAGUAAUUACCUUAAUGGCCGAUAAGACAUGUUUCUAAGUUCCACGAUAUAGAACAAUCCAAGUUAAGGUGAAAUAUUAUAAAAAAUUCUACUUAUCAUCUAGAGCAAGAUCAAUACUUCCGAUUUAAAAUUUAAGUCAUUUAUCACUAUUUUUUAUAAAAUUUUUAUUUUCAGCCGCUUAUUUUUAUACUGCUUUUCCUCUAGGCAAACAAAAUUAAAAAAUUAUAAAAUUUGAUUCUUAAAUAGUUUCAACACUGUAAACCAUGUUUAACAGAACUGAUCGCCAAAUCAGAUAUUUUAUCAUCGAAAAUAACUUACAAACACGAAAGCCUUCGUACUUUUGAAACCAUAGUAGCCAAGCGCUCUCUCUCUCUCUAUAUAUAGAGCAACAGAGAAAGAGAAUCGAGCUAGAAUACAAUUAAGUAGCAAACGGAUUCUGUUGCUACCAAUUCGUUUUCGAUGACACAGCUUCUGCAUCGACGAUAGGUACUAUUAAACAUGAUCUAUACCACUAAAAAUAUCUAAAAAUCAAAUUUUAUAUUUUUUCGAUAUUAUUCUCUUGUGCAUCAAGUAGACGCAAAAAUGAACCGCUAUAAAUAAUAUCCUUCAAAAAAUAAUGAUAGAAUUCUUACAAUCAAGAUCAAGAGUAUAGAUCAUAUUUUAAACAGGUUAAAAAAAUUUUCUAACUAAAAUUCAGUUGAUUUGGAUUUCUUUACGCCAUUAAACAAACAAAUGUCUCAUACCGACCAUCAAUAUUAUAAAUUUUGCAAUAUUUUAAUCACUAAAUCAAUUAUAUCAAAAAGACAUGAAAUUUACUGUCUAGAUACUUCAAGUAGUCUAGAUCAUGUUCAGCGAUACCGAUCAUCGAUUUGGAAGCUUCAACAUCAAAAAUAAAUUGGUAGCAACGUAGGACUACCCCCCAACUUUUGACUCGCGUUGAGUCCCUCGCCCUUUCCUGAACCCAGCUUGCUGGGCUCAGAAAGAGAUGGUCGGCAGAUCUGCCCCAUUUGCUACUAAUAGUAUUCAUACAUUUUCCGUUGGGGAUUUCUUGGAAUAAAUCCCCACAUCUUCCUUCUUAUGCGAAAUUUCCAAUCAAUCAGAAUUGAGGUUAAAAACCAUAGAAAGAGAUCUACAAUAUCUUGGAUGAUAAAAAAAAAUACUAUCACUAUCAGAUUAGCUGAUAUAUAUAAUGUUUGCUCAGAAUCAUAUCAGAUUAGAGAACAAGAGCUCUAAAGUAAGAAGAUCCUGACAAAAUUUCCAGCAGAUAUCAAGUAUCAACACAACACCAGUAAUUCUGCCACAAGAGUGAACUUGCAGACACAGAACAAAUUUAUAAAAAGGAAAAACCAAACCAGUUUCAUGAGCUAACAGAGAAGUUGUAAACGAAAAACCAACGAAUGAAAUAUGUUUAUCCAUUCAAAGAUACUAGUCCAUUCGACAAGCUCAAUAAGAGCCUCAAAAUCCAUAAUCCCCUGUCCUUUUCAUCAGAAAUAGCUAAAUCUUGCAUUACGUCGAAGUUUUGGUAGCAGAAAUCAGCAUAUGCUUCACUAUAAUGCAAGGAACGUGUAAACCGUUAAAAUUUUAAAAGCAACGAAUUUUCCCUUGACCUGUAAGAAGAGUCAUAAAUAUUCUAUAAAGGAACACUGUUAGAGGUGGCAAAAUGAUGAAAUUUUGUAGAAAUUUCAUGGGAGGCAAAGUGAAAAUCGUCACACUUCUAGUGGGGGUUCCUGCAAUCUUAGCCAAAUCAUCACAGAGGUUACGGAAUUUCAGAAGUUGGAAUCAGUUAACAUACUGAUAUCCUCAACAAAAGGAGAUACUACAUACACAUUGCUGGGCAUACCCGCAAUGUACUCUAUUCAGCACAUAUGAUAUUGUGAGAAAUGAACAAUAAACGGGCAUUACUUAAUGCCUUACGAAUGAGAUCUGGAUUAAUACCUCUCUAUCAACUGUGGGAUGGAUUUCUCCUCGGGAAGCCGCUAGAAUGCAAGUAUCAGAGGUUACAGAAGCACUCUUUGGAUCAGUCACAUUUUAAGUCGGUUCUCGACAAGCUUACUUAACUCAAAUUUCUUUACAGACCAAGCAUCUUCAGAAACUUCAGCUUCUUCGACAUCCUAAUUGGCACAACUUUCUUUCCCUAGUCUUUGGGAUCAGAUUCUCAAGUUCUUCCACAAUUCUCAACAUAAAAGGAUCGAGGGGGAGGUGUUAGAUUGAAUUAGUUUUGGUUCCAGCCAGAAGAUUGAGCUGAAUGGAACUGCCAAGAAGCAUCAGAAGAUGACGAGUAAUGAACAUGGGCAGGAGAAUCAAAGCUUUUCAAAUAGCCAGGAAAUUGCUCGAGUUCAUUUUGCGAUGAGAUUAAACCAGGAACGAAUGUUGGCGAGACCAGAAUUUGUCUUGGGGAACUAAAAGAUACGAGAGAAUCUGUGAAAGGGGUAAAGGGUUGUGGUAACAUAGAUCCUGGAGGACCGGGCCAGUCUAGUGAAGCGGGCUUUCCCUGAGAAACAGCUUCGGGGACAGGAAAACCUGGUCUCCCCGGACCCAAAUGGCUUUUGGGAGUAGAGAGAGGAAUAGUCUUAGCGAAGGAACUAAAGAACAUGGUUCCCGGAGGGCCAGGCCAAUCUACUAAACUGGGCCUUCCCUGAACAACAGCUUCUGCGACAGGCAAAGCAGGUCCUCCUAAUUCCAAAUGGCCUUUGACAGUAGUAGGGGGGAGGUGCGCUAUCCUAACAGCAAGCACCUUUCCUUCGAUCCUGUAGCCAUUCAUUCGCGCCACAGCCUUAGCAGCACAAAUAGGAUCAGCAUACUUAACAAACCCAAAUCCUCUGCUUAAACCAGUGGUUUUAUCCGUAAUCACUCUUGCAUCGGAGAUGCCACCGAACGGUAGAAAAAGUUCGAUUAGUUUAUCGGUGUUCAUGGAGUGUGGAAGGUAGCCCACGAACAAUUUGGCCUCAUCAAUUUCUUUAACAGGCAUGCGAUUGUAAUUUCCAGGUGAAGCACGCGUUCCUUUUUCCGGGCCAUCAAUCACAGGCAAAGUAGAAUUAGAGUGCGGCGAACGAUUAAAGGGGGGAAAGGAUGCAUCCCCAUUUGGAUAUCUAAUUCCAAAUCCUGGGCCAGAUGCGAUCAAUGGACAACUCACAGUAAAAUGACUCGGAUCACCACAAACAUUGCAUGAUUCACGGGACAUCUCAUUCUCAAGUUCAUAUGGAUUUUUCCCUGAAUCUCCAAGGAAGUUGAUUUGAUCAGUGCUUGUUUCAGUUCCCGAGGUGGACGCAGUCAAAGGGCAAUUGGCAGUCAAAUGACUUGAAUCACCACAAACAUCGCACAAUUCACUGAACACCUUAUCGACCUUGUGAGAUUUUUUCUUUUUCUGUGUUCCAUUCCAUUCAGCGAGUUCCCUGAGUUGGGCGGACUUAAUUUUCAGCGUUUCUUCUCUCACAGGAACCAGUAGCCUUUCGACCAUCUUAACCGCAGCAUCAAGAGACUGCUGAUUAUUGGCGUCUAUUUGCACAUAGACUUCAUCAUCCUCCCAUGGUGCGCUGCUUCCCUUCUUUGAGUCUCUUCUUCUCAUAUUAUAACCUUUACCACGGAUUAUAAUUUUGGCUCCUGUCUGUCUCUCCAUUCUCUGUAUUGUUCGACCUCCUGGACCAACUAUAAGGCCAAUAAAGUUGAAUCCUGGGUAUUUCUUAUGCGGUAUGUACAGCUUCUUGCAUAGCUUUUGAGGUUCGUAAUAGGAAAGAUGCUUGAAACUAGGGUUUUUCUUAAUCAACUCGCAAAUUAUACUUUGUCUUUGUGCUUCAAGUUUGAUGCGAAGCCUAACCUCCCUUGUGUUUUCCCUAAUACCCAAACAAUUGUAAAUAGGUGGUGGGGAUUGAGAUCUUUGAUUUUCCGGUCGGUCAUCAACCAGCUCUCGCUCUUUUAGCUUCUGAUUUAUCCUGAGAAGCUCCGAACUCAAUUUUUGGAAUUCUGGGUCUCGAAGAUUCUCAAGAACUGUAUCAUCUGCAAAAUCGGGUAACUUUAAGGGGCCCAAAGCCUUCAAUUUGGCAUCAUUGGUGGCCCAUCUCGUCUUUUUCCUCUUUUUGGCAAAUUUAGUUGUUUCUUCGUCAAAUCCUUCCUUUACAUCCCAUCCACGUCGCUUUCUCUUACCAGAGCUCCCUGUGUUCUCCUCUUUUCUUGAAUCCUCGUCCCGCUUCAUUCGCUUUUCUGAAGAUGUUUCUAGUUUAUCAGUCGACCUUCUCUUUUUCCCCGAGCUUGAAUUAGCACCUUCCAACGGCAAAUUGUCAUCAUGAUGCUUAGUCCCUUCUUCACCAGGUUCCUCCUCAAUUUCCUCAUCUGCAUCUUUCUCAUUUGACUCCUCUUCAUAAUCAGCAUAUUCCUCAUGAGGUUCGUCAUCUUCAUUAGACUCUUCUUUCCAAUCAUCUUCUUCCGAUGCGUCUCCAUCCUCACUAGCUUCCUCAUUACAAACAAUUUCAUCAUUAUUUUCCUCGAUCAGUUCUUCCUCAGAUGGAUCUUCUUCCUCCUCACUCAAGCUUGGAUCGACAGAAGUUUCCUGCCUCGUCAUACUUGUCCUUCUUCAAAAGUUUGUAGGAGAUCUACAACUGAAAUCAACCAUCAAAACACCAACCCGAAAAAGACCACAAAAAUGUUAAAGCCUGCAGAUUACAUCAGUGAAUGAAACAACAACUAAUUAAGUGAUAAAAAUCUAUUAAAUAAUCAAAGCAAAAUUUUACCCAUUCUCACACCCUCAUGUCAGAGCAAAUAUAUUUCUUUCCGUCAAUCGACCCUCUAUUCUUGAAAAAAGAUGGAGUAAAAUACUUUUACCAUCACUUUCGCAUCUCUAACUUCUCACUCAUUCUAACGCUCAUGUCAUUAUAUUUAAACCCUAAAUCCUACACCCUUGUAAAUCUUAAGAGGACAUUUUUCGGCAUAACCGUCCGAACUGUGAAAAAUUGCAUAUAUCUGCAAAUUUUUUAUACAAAUUCCACUUUUUUAGGUAUAAUUGCAUCAUUUCCAAACUUUUGCAGGAAUUCAUAUUCAAUUGUGCCUAAAUCAAACGUAAUAGAAGGCUUUUAAGACAAAAUUGCUUAAUUAUUACAAAAACUACGAAUUAUAUUAAAGAACAAUUUCAAAUCAGUAAGAGCACUAUAAAACCCACAAAAGUUAAGAGGCGAUUUUCACCAUUUUCACUACCGAUCUCCUCAAGAACCUCACUUUAACAUGCUAAUUUAGGAUCAAAACGCCACUACAUGAAUCUAUCAGAUUCCUAAAUCUAAGAUUCACGAGACAAAUUGACGUGAAAAGUAAAGGAUAAAUGCGAAAAGAUUGCAUAUUUGGCCUUCUUGAAACAAACCCAAAUCAAUAAAUCAAAAGAAACCAUGGGUUUCUUGCCCUAGAUCGAUAAUAAACACCACGAACAAGAUAAGUUACGGGAAAAUGAGAAAAAAAUGUCCUAAAAUUGCACAAAAAAUUCAUGCAAUCAUUGGAUUAAACCCUACGAAGCCCUUUAAACGAGGAUUAUAGAGAAAUUGGAGAAAAAUUCGAGGAUUGGGGUUGGAAAUAACCUCUCUUCUCAAAAGGGGGGGGGCGGGGGGGUGAGGAUCGAGAUCGGAGCCCUAAUUUCGCCUCAAAUCUCAAUCGAACGAUUUGUGCGACGGGAUUAAGGUCGACUCAGGAUCGGGAAAUUUGCGUAUUUGUCCUCGAAAUUUUACGUAAUUUGCAAAUGUUACGAAGAAAGUUAAAUGAGAAAGGAGGGAAAUGAGAAAAAAAAAAAAAAAAAAAAAAAGUGAAAUGUGUAACUCAUAACGACAUAAAAUUUAACAUAAUAAUUACAAACUGUUUAUAAUAUAAAUAUAAAUAAGUAAAUAAAAAAUAAUUUUUAUCAUAUUUUGGUGUAGAUAAAAUAGUUUUACAAAAGGAUGGAAAUGGUUGAUAUGACGGGUAAGAUAUGACGGUAGAAAUAGAGAUAAUUAUGCCGUGUGUGUGUGUAAUAUAAUAUAUAUAUAUAUAUAUAUAAUAUAUAUAUAUAUAUAUAUAUAUAUAUAUAUAUAUAUAUAUAUAGAGUGAGGCUACUAUGCUAUCGAGCCGGAGCCUUCCGUGCUUCCACCUUGUUUUCGAUGUUGCGACUUUCGAAUCGUCGAUCGGCUCCGUUAAACUUGAUCUAGAGUAUUUGGAGUACUAGAAAAUAAAUUUUAUGAUUUUUCGAUAUCAUUUGCCUAGUGAACGAAGGGCUCAAAAUCAACGGCUGAAAAUAAAAAUCUUAUAAAACGUAAUAAUAUGACAUUAAAAUUUUAAAUCAAAAAUAUUGAUCUUGUUUUAUUAGUAUAAAGAAUUUUCUAUCAAAAUUUCACGUAAUUUGAAUAUUUACACCGUUAAACUUGCAAACGGCUCACCAUGGCCAUUAAAAUUAUUAAUUUUGAGUCCCUUCGAUCACUAGGCAAAUGAUAUCGAAAAAUAAUAAAAUUUAUUUUCUAGGUACUCCAAAUACUCUAGAUCAAGUUUAACGGAGCCGAUUGACGAUUUGAAAAUCGCAACAUCGAAAACGAGAUGGAAGCACGGAAGGCUCCGUGCUUCCGAUAGCAUAGUAGCCUCACUCUCUAUAUAUAUAUAUAUAUAUAUAUAUAUAUAUAUAUAAGCACCUAUUUCAAAUUUCUAUCGGUCGCCGGACCUAUUUCAAAAUUUCUCGCAAAAAAAAUAACGUAACAAAACAAACUUUUAGUUUCUAUUUUUUCUCGAAACAUUAAUAUUUCUUAUUCAAUAUCUUUUCUUUUAAAGAUAAAUAACUAUAUAUUAUCUGCAUUCUAUCUAUUAAUAUUUUAUUGUUAUAUUCACUUUUAUUGAUUGUAAUCAAUAAUCAAAUUUAAAUUUAAUUGCAAAUAUAUAUCUAAAUUUUAAUAUUAUUUUAUUUUAAAAUUUUAUUGACCUAAAAUUUAGAGUUGAAAUUUAAUUAUAUACUGUAAAUUUCUAAAUUUUUAAAUUAAAAUUAAAUUUGAGUUUUAUUCGUGAAUUAAAUUUACUUUGGAUAUUAAAUUUGAAUUAAUAAUUAAAAUUUCUUUAUUAAAGUGAAAAAAAUAAAAUUUAGAUUUUGAGUUAAACGUGAAUUAAAAUUUUGACAUUUUUAGUUAAAAAUAUAUAUUUAAAUUUUGGAUUCAUACGAAUUCAAAAAUAUACAAAAAUAUUCAAUGCAUAUCUAUAUCUAUAUUAUAUAUGUGUAAAAUAAAAAAUACAACUAUAUAAUUAUUAUCGAUAAUAAUUAUUUAAAUUUGAGUUAGAGAUCACAGUAGAAGAUGGUUAAUUAAGACAACGGUUAAAUAGUAAAUGCAUACCAAUGUAUUAGAAAGAAAAAAUUUCUUUUUUACUCCUCAAAACGUCUGUAAGAAAAAAAGUUUUCUUUUUUCGAAAAUAAAAUUUCGGAAAAUGAAAAGAAAAGUUUUCUAUAAAAUAUGAAAAAUAAUUUUCAAAAAAAUAUAUUUUUUCUGCGAACCAGACACAAGGAAAAAAAAUUUUCAACCUAAGAUAAAUUUUAUAGGAUAUUUUUCGAGGAACCAAUCAGGUCCCCAAGCUAUUUGGAAUUGUUCCUCGGAAUAGGUUGUUACCUACAAAAUAUAUAUGCCAAUCUCUUUCUUUAUUAGCAAAAACUUUAUAAUUUUAUAUUUACAAAAUUAUUCUUGUGAUGCCGCUAAUCUUAUCAUUCCGACCCUAUCUCAGUCGAGACUCAUCUCACACACCGAUACCAACUGUGCCGUCCCAACUUUUCAGGGAUCACCUAUCCUAAGACUACUUCCGUUCUAAUAUGCUUAACUCUCUUAUCCUCUUGGACCUUGCCACUAUCCAAAAUGCUUAAGUCAGAUUAAGAAUUUAAUCCUACUAUAUCGUUCUUAUAUGUAGGACUACUUGGGAUCUCAUAAUUCUAAUAUAUGUAAAAAAAAAAUAUUACUUAUAAAUUUUUACUUCUUUCUCUCUAAAAUUUAUUUUCAAUAACACUAUAUUUAUAAGAAAAAAAAUUAGCCCCGAAGUGCAGGUGCAUUAACUAGUAUGCUCAUGAUGGUUCAAUUUUCGACCAUUCCCAUUCUUAAUUUUCCACAUUUUAUUUACUUUAUUUUAUUUUAUAUUAUCUUGCUAAAUACGCACAUUAAUUACACGUAAAAAUGUGAACUUGCUACGUAGUACGUACUAGGGCCGUUACUAUACUACAAGUUUACUAUACUACAAGUGUUCCACGUUUCCUCUCCAACCCUCUAUAAAUACGUGAAUUAUUUGCAUUACUAUUCCAACCACCACCAUAUCAUCUUCUUAGAGAGAGAGAGAGAGAGAGAGAGAGAGAGAAGGAUCAGCAAUGGCUUCGGUGUUCGAGAUCGGAAAGUUCGGUGCCCAGGUGAUCAGCGUGCCGGCGGAGAAGAAGCGCGACAAGGCGUCGUCGCCGCCUCUGCCUCCGAAGCCUGUUUUGAUCGUCUCGCCGACCGUCGCGGGUGUUUACCCGGUCGCAGUCUUCCUGCACGGCUUCAUGCUUCAAAACCAAUACUACACGCAGAUUCUGAAGCACAUCGCGUCUCACGGCUUCAUUGUUGUCGCACCGCAGGUCUGACCGUCUAUUUUUCUUACUAGUUGGACAAUCGUUUUCUGACGGUUUAAACUUUUACUGAUGUUCGUCAAAUGAUGCGAACUUCGUUGCAGCUCUACACCUUCAUCAGCACACAGUCGACGGAGGACGUGGAAUACGCUGUUUCCGUCGCCAACUGGCUGCCCGACGGGCUCCAACCUCAGCUCCCCGAUGGUGUCGAGCACGAUCUUACGAAGCUCACCCUAGCCGGACACAGCAGGGGCGGGCAUGCCGCCUUCGCCGUCGCCCUCGGCCUUGCAAAAACCCCCCUCAAAGUGAAAUUCUCAACCCUAAUCGGAGUCGACCCCGUCGCGGGAAAGAGCAAAUCGUCGCAGACGCCCCCGAAGAUCCUCACGUACGAGCCGUCCUCCUUCAACCUCGACAUCCCAGUCCUAGUCCUCGGGACCGGACUCGGAGACGAGAAGCCGAACAUGCUGAUGUGCAAGUGUGCACCGAAAGGAGUCAACCACGAAGAGUUCUAUUACGAAUGUAAGCCGCCGUGCUAUCAUGUUGUUUUGAAGGACUACGGGCAUUUGGACAUGUUGGAUGACGAUGCCCCAAAGAUUGCAAGGUACGUUUGUAAGAAUGGGAAGAAUAGCAAGGACGACAUGCGGCGGAGCACCGCAGGGCUCAUCGUCGCGUUCUUGGAGGCCUACGUCGAAGAUGAGAAAGACGACCUCGAAGCAAUACUGGAGGAUCCUCAGCUGGCGCCGGCCGUGCUCGACCCGGUCCGUCGCCGUGAAGAAUGAGAUGGAUUCUGUAUUUUAAAAGAAAUUUUCAUUUCAAUUUCAAAUUAGGGUGUGUUUGGUUUAACGUAAAACUAUGAAAAAAAAAUUUAGUAGAAAAAAAAAAUUUCGAGAGGAAAAUAAAUUUUACGUCAUCUAAUUUUUGGUUUGUAGGAAAAAAAAUAUAAUUUUCGUUACAGUUGUUUGAUUGAAAGAAAAAAAAAUAUAAAUAAAAAAUUAUUAUCUAUAUUUUUUUAUUUCAUAUAUUAUAUAUUAUUAAUAUAUAAUUAUUAUCAUAUUACAUAUAUUAGUAUUAUAAUUUAUGUUUAUAAAUAAAAUAUAUUUAAAAUAUAUUAUGCAAUAAUUAAGUAUAUAAUAUAAGAUAUAAUAGUAUAUAUUUAAUACUUUAAAAUAAAUUACUAGAUAUUUAUAAAUAAUAUUUAUAAAUAAAAUACUAUCUUUAAUAUAUGUAUAUGAGCUAGGCUGGUAUACUAUCGGUAACACGGAGGCAUCCAUGCUACCAAAUUGCUUUCAAUGAUAUGGCUUCCAAAUCGACGAUCGGCUCCAUUAAACUUGAUUUACACUAUUUAAAGUAUUUGCAAACUAAAUUUCAUAAUUUUUCGAUAUUAUUUGGCUAUUGAUUAAAAGGUCUCAAAAUUAACAAUUUUAAUGGUAGAUGUGAUGCGUUUGUGAAUUUGAUGUUUAAAAUAAUUCAAAUCUGAUAAAAUUUUUAUAGAAAAUUCUUUUCACUAUUUAGUGUAAGAUCGGUACCUCCUUAAAUUCAAAUCUUUUAUCAUCAUUUUUUAUGAGAUUUUUAUUUUCAGCUGUUAAUUACUCGUUUGAUAGGUAAAUAAUGCUGAAAAAUUAUGAAAUUUAGUUUCCAAUUACUUUCAAUAGUGUAGAUUAAGUCUAAUAGAACCGCUCGUCGAUUUGGAAGCUGCAUCAUUGAAAAUAAUUUGAUAGUACAGAGGCCUCCGUGCUACCGGUAGUAUACCAACUUAGCUUAGCUCGAGUCCGGCUGGAAUACUAUAGAUGCACCAAGGAUUUGGUGCUAUCGAGUUUUUCACCGUUAGAUUUAACCCUUUGAUUAUUUUUACCUGUUAGAUUAUACUAUUCAACCAAUCACUCACUCAACCCUAGGGGGUCCGCAUCAUCCUAACCACGCAAUUCUUAAUCCAAGGGCUAAAAAACUAAUAGCACCAAUAGUUUAGUGCUAUUGAUAGUACUCUAGCCUAGUUCUAUAUGUAUGUUAAGGGUUUUUUUUGCAAAUAGCCCCCUGAGCAAUUUUUAUUUUAAAAAUAGCCCUAUCAAAAUUAAAAUUACAAAAAUGGCCCUGUCUCUGCCACGCAGGUGCCACGUCAGCGCCACGCGAGGCAGGGCUGGGGCCAGGGUAUUAAGUUGAACACGGUAAAUCAUUCACUAUAUCUAAACACAGUGAAUGGUUCACCGUUGUUUUACGUAUUUUUUGUAUAUUGAAAAGUGGAAUAAGGAGUAGGGUGUCAAUAGGUAUGGAUAUCCGAAAAUUAUCCGAUCAAACCCAAUAAAUUUAUAUAUAAUAUUAUAUAUAUAUAUAUAUAUAUAAAAUUUAUUCGGGUUUGGAUUCGGAUAAUAUUUCGGAUAUCCAUACCUAUUGACAUCCCUACUCCUUAUUCCACUUUUCAAUAUACAAAAAAUACGUAACAAAAAAUACGUACUAAACACGGUGAACCAUUCACCGUGUUUGAAUACGGUGAAUGGUUCACCGUGUUCAACUUAACAUACGGGCCCAGCCCUGCCCACGUGGCGCUGACGUGGCGCCUGCGUGGCAGGCUCAGGGCCAUUUUUGCAAAUUAAAUUUUAACAGGGCUAUCUUUAAAAUAAAAAUUUGUCAGGGAUCUAAAUGCAAAAAAAGCCCUAUGUUAAGGAUAGUAUUUUAUUUAUAAACAUUAUUUAUAAAUAUCUAGUAAUUAUGUUAUGGUAUUAAAUAUAUACUUUUGACGGUGCUUCUUUACAUAACUCAUUUUCUUAUAAAAAAAAAAGUAUUUAGGAGUCCAAUUACUUGGUUGGCUUUGUAAACCAAUUGGAAUUUUCUUGUUCUUCCAAUGUUUCGAAUUAUCAAAUGAAUAAAGGAGUUUAAGUGCGUAAUGUGCUUAAAACCGGAGAGCUACUAAGCACUAAUUUUGCAAAAAAUAUUCAAUAUAUAUAAUAAAUUAAUAAUGGGUUCAAUCUUAAUAGGUUCAUGAACUCUUGUCCCUCCCUUAAUGAAACCAAAACAAUAUCAUGACCAGAUUAUAUUGUAUAAAAUUUAAAAUUAAAUCCUUCUCAAAAUAAGUUGAUACUAUAUAUUCACCAUCUUCUUCCAUUAAUAUGGUUUGAUUGAAAAACUUAAUUAGAACCCAAAAAUUAGUUUACAAGGUGCCGCAAGAGCCACAAGUUUACAAAACGAAGCAGCUAUAUAUACAACAUCACGUACCCACUGCAACAAUAAAAUGAAUAGGAACACCACGCAAUUUGGAGAAGAUGAUGAACAGUUUAUAAGUUGUGCUAAGUCCAGCUGUAAUAUGAAUGUCACCGACCGAACUCGGAUAAUCUGAUUUCGCCUCUCGUCUCAAGCACUCUCUCAUAUACUGUGGAACAGAUGGUAAUUCUUUACCAGAAUACACGUGAGAAAGUGGCAAAAACCGGUACCCCUUUAUAUAGAGUACAAAUUGACUUUUCAUCAAAGUCUAAUAAAAAUUUUAUUUAAUUUAAAUAGAUGUAAAAAGAAUAAGAUAUAUCAUGUCAAGUGGUUAUAUAUAUAUCAUGUCAAGUUUUAAGAUUUAGAUGCCGUAUGAACCACAAGAUUGAACAGAUCAUCUCAACGAAAUAUCUGAAGCUCAAUUAUCUAUACUACUUAUAAAAACGUGAGUUUUAAAUUUUUUUCUCUUUCCAAAAAUAUCUCUAUCUUUUCUACUAAUAUUUUUAUGUCCAGUAAUUUGCAAGUUUCAAAUAAUUUUUCAAAUAAUAAUUUAUUCUUAAAUAUAGAUCUUAAAUUUUUACCGUUGGAUCUCAUCCAAUGAUUAAAAAUUAAAGUAUCUGUCACUUUUCUUGACAAAAAUACCCUCAAUAUCCGUUAUCUCCUAUCUACGCGUUUUACAAAUAUCUACGCAUUUUCUCAAACGUAAUUUCCGUCAUAACUUAAAAUAUCCGUUAUAUCAUAUCUAUGGGUUCCUUAAAAAUUUUGUUUCUCACACACGUUUUCUCAAACACUAAUAUCCGUUAUCUCCUAUCUACGCGUUUUACAAAUAUCUAUGCAUUUUCUCAAACGUAAUUUUCGUCGUAACUUAAAAUAUCCGUUAUAUCAUAUCUACGGUUCCUUAAAAAUUUUGUUUCUCACACACGUUUUUUCAAACGCGUCAUAAAUUAAAAUAUCCGUUAUCUCCUAUUUACGUAUUUUUCAAAUAUUUUCUUUCUCACACGUAAUACUUGGGCCAAUCACGUAAAAUAUUACUAAAAAGAUUUAAUACCCACCUAAGCAAAACUAAAUUAUUAAUUAAAUAUAAUUUUAUAUUUUUAAAUUUUUUUAGUAAAAUAUUCAAAAAUAAUACCCGCCAAAAUAUCUUAUGUAUUUCUCAAAUAUAAAACAUAUCUUAAUGCACUCGCAUAUUAUAUCUACAUAUCUUUGCAUAUAAUAUCUACACUAUCCAAUUUUUAUCUCAUCUUAAUAUUUAUUCACACACAGAAUAUAUUUUUUUGAAGACAUAUUUUUUUAGUAACAUCUUUUUUUAUUUUCACCUAUAUUUUUCUCAAAUAUUUUUCAUAUGUCCACAUCGCUAGCACCAGUAUAUCGUAGCAUAUUGUUAUCGUCAACACCAACACAUUAUCACUUUCGCCACCUUCGUCAUAAUAGAGGUAUUUUGAUCUCACCUGAAAUUUUUUUAUUUUUUUAAUGUGCAUUUAUAGUAUUUUAGCAUAUUUUUUUGAUAUUUUUUUAUUUUUACAUAUACGUUUAUCAAAUAUAAAGUAUAUAUAGUGUAUAAAACAUGCAAAAAUUUUUCAAAAUAUGAGCGAUAGGAUUCAAAAUUCUUCUAAAAUUAUAUUACUAUUUUUACGAUCUUUUUCAAAUCAAUAUAUAUAUAUAUAUAUAUAUAUAUAUUUUUUUUUUUUUUUUUUGAGGGUGUAAAAAAUAUUAAAAUUUUGUCAAAUUAAGUUCAAUUAAUUUGAACAUUAAUUGGAGAAUAGUAGUAUAGUUAGUUCUAAUUUCAAUUUCAUUAAUAAUUUUAAAUAAAUAUAUAUUUUAGAAAAAAAUUAUUUGAUAUUUUUAAAUAAGUUUACGUUCAUUGCACGUGAAUAUGACUUUUAAUAAAUAUCUGAAGCUCAAUUAUUUAGUACUUGCAACAACUGGGUACAACACGUGUUACAUCCUUUUAGGAUUUUUAUGUCCUUAAUUAAUUAAUUAAUUAGCAUACUAAAAACUUUAUAUUUAGCAUUACAAGCUUGUUUUUUUUAUUUUAUUUAAUGAACUUAUUAACAUCACAUAAUAGAAUUUAAUACCUUAUUAAAAGCUUAAUUAGGUAGCACUAAAUUUAUUUUUAAAAAUAAAGGCUAAAAUAAAAACUCAGGAAAAAUCAACAAACGCUAGUACAAUAGAAACUUAUAAGAAAUUUAAGAAAAGUUUCAAAUUACGAUUCCACAAAAUGCAUGCAUAUUAUUCUUCUCUCUCUCUCUCUUCUUCUCUCUCUCUCUCUCUCUCUCUAUAUAUAUAUAUAUAUAUAUAUAUAUAUAUAUAUAUAUAUAUUCUAUAAUUUAUGUAAAAUCACAAAAAAUAAAUAAAUAAAUAAAAAGGAGAAAACUUAUUAUUCCUUAAAAGUGAUUAUUGUUGCAUUCCCGAAUAGACCCCUCACAUUAAAUUUUUUUUUUUAUGGACACUCUUAAAACAUUUUUUUUCAUUUGACGUGGUGGUAGGAAUGUCAAUGGAUAUGAAUAUCCGAAAUUUUAUCCAAAAUCGAAUCCGAACGGGAUGGAAUUACCCGAGUUAAACGGUUAUGGAUUCGGUUAUGGAUAUAGAAAAUAAAAACCUUAUGAAUAUGGAUACGGGUAUGGAUUUUGUAUUUAACCGAUCCGAACCGGAACCCAAACCCGAAGCCGAACACGAAUAAAUUAUAUAAAUGCAUAAUUUAUUUUUCUUUAUUUAUAUAAUAUAUAAAAUAUUUAAUAAUUUUUUAUCUUUAGAUCUUCAUCCAACAGUAUGGAUUUUUAAAACCCGCCGAAGUCGGGUCCGGAUUCAGGUUUCGAGUUUUUGGUCAGGUACGGAUAUGGGUAUGGAUUUUUAAAACCCGCCGGGUUCGGGUCCGGAUUCGAAUUUUAAUUUGGUUUUCGGGUUCGGGUUCGGAUUUUUAAAAACCCGACCCAAAUCCGACCUGUUGACAUCCUACGUGGUGGGUGAGUGGAAAGGGGUUUUUUUUUUUUGGAAAAUUUAUGAGAGGAUUUAUUUUAUUUUAAAAUAAUUAUAAUAAUAAUAAUAAUAAUAAUAAUAAAGAUUGUGGGCCCCAUGUAAGGAGAUAUGAUAGGAUUAGUACAUGUUUUUUGGAUAAACUUCAAAUAUCAUAUCUGUGGUUUCGCACUUUCUCACUUUAGUGCCCUGUAGUUUAAAGUGUAUCAAGUUAGUGUCAUAUGAUUUUAUUUUUAUCUUUUCGUCAGCUUUUUCGUUAAUAUUUCAUAAAUUAUAUAUAAAAAAUUUCAGAUACCCCACCUUGGUUUAUCGAAUAUUCACUUUAGUAACCUUUAAUUUUAACUUUGUCAUUGAUUUAACGAAAAAAAUUAGUAAAAUCGAUAAUAAAAAGAUAAAAAUAAAAUCAUAUGGCACUAAAUUGAUACACUUUAAAUCGCAUAGUAUUAAAGUGAGAAAGUAUGAAACCACAAGACGAUAUUUAAAUUUUUUUCUAUUUUUUUAAAUUGUGGACCCCACGCUUCUUUCACAAAGAGAGAUGGUGGGGCCUACAUCUUUUUUGAAAAUGAGAUAUGAAAAAGCUAUAUUUAUGAAUCUCAAAUGACUCCCCUUUUUAAUUUUGAUGUGGGCCCCCUUUCUCUCACAUGUGAGAGAAAGAAAAUAAUAAUAAUAAUAAUGGGGGUUUACAUUUUUCUCAUACCAAUACGAAGAUAAAUUCGAGGUGGGUUUAUAUUCAAGCUUAAGAUUAGAUUUGAGCUAGACUUGAAUCAGAUUUGACUUAGCCAUAUUUGAAUUUUAAAAUUUAAAUCUAGCACAUCACCCUCUUUUCUUAUUGCACUGAAAUAUAGACGGUGGCUAGACCCGAAAGAUUAAGAGAAUUAAACGUAUUAGGACAGGAGCAGUUCAAUAAUGGGUGACCACAUGAGAAGUCUGGGCGUCACAGUUGGUAUCAAAGCUAAAUACCAGUCGGAAGUGUGAGAUAGGUCUCGACUGAACCAAAAUUAUACAGUGGGGAGAGCGAGACUCUCAUACUGUUGAUUGCUGUAAGUGAAGCGCAGCUAACCGUAAAGUUGGUUUAGACUAGCGAGACGAGUCUCAUAUCGCAUGUUACUUAUGAGUUGAGCCUAACGAGGACAGCAGUGCUUGGGGGGGAGAAUGUGGAAUAUGAGACCCUGUAUAGUCCUAUAUAUAAAAUAUAAUAGGACUAAAAAUUCUUAACCCAACUUAAACAUUUUGGAGAGUGACUAGGAUGGGUAACUCUCUGGAAAGUCGAGACGUUCCAUACUAAACAUUUUACAAAUCUACUGUUCAAUAUGAUGUCGAGGUUCGGACGAAAAUAGCACGUUACCCGCUUCGUUUAUUUCAUUUCGAAAUAAACUUAGCUAAAAAUAUGAGUCAACUAGGAUUCGAACUUGGGUCUCGGAUACCAAUUAACAAGCCCUUUGCCACUUGCUCUAGGGAUGAUCGGUCACGAGAUCAACAAAUUACCUCAACUAAAAAUUAGUAAAGCGUGGUCUCUCAACGAAGUCGCUCUCAGUAAUAAUAUUCUUAAGAAGCACAAUAGUACGAGAAUAUAAUUUCAUUAAAAUUUGAGAAUGUUAUUUUGAUCCUAUCUCAUAUAAAUGGUGUCCACAAAAUCUAAAGCUCAAUUAUUGAGUACUUGCAACAAACGUGGUACUAACACAAGUUGCAUAUGCUUUUUAGCUUUUUUAUGUCCUCAAUUAAUUUGCAUGCUCUACAAGCUUUUUUUUUUUUGUACUAUUAAUGAACUUAAUUAACAUCACAUAAUAGAAUGAAUUGAUUUAAUACGUUGUUACAAGCUUAAUUAGGUAGCACUAAAUUCAUUUUUAAAAAAUAAAGGCUAAAAUAAAAACUUAGAAAAAAGUCAACAAAGGCUGGUUACAAUAGAAACUUCUAAGAAAUUUAAGAAAAAGUUCCAAAUUACGAGUCCACAAAAACAAAAACAAAAACAAAAACAAAAGGAGAAAACUUAUAUAUCCUCACAUUUAAUUUUUUUGAUCGACACUCUUAAAACUCAAAUGAAUAUAUAUAUUUGAGUUUUUGUAAUUAAUCAGGUCAAAAUUUUUUGUUAAAUUUCAUGGAUUAAUUGGACAUUAGUAAUUAAUAAUGUGAUUUAUUUGCUACGAGAUUGUUUACAGUAUUAAAUAUGAUAAAAUUGUCAAUUAAUUUGCUAAAAGUAUUAAUUUAUUUGGCUAAAAUUACUUAAUUUUCAAAGAAUCAAAAGUUAAGGGGGUCACAAUUAAACAUUUAUAAAUGGAAAAAUUUUAUGGAGAACUCCUCAACUACAGGCUAUUCGGAAAUAAACCCCUACAUUUCUUUUUCUUAGUCAAUUAAUCCGUAUUUUUUCAACUUGUAUUAUUUUAACUUUAAGUUAUCUUUAAAUUUUAAUUAAAAUUUUCAAAUCGUAUCCAACUGUGUAAAUUUAUUGCAUCAAAAAAUUUAUUUAAUUUACUAAAACUCCACUACUCAUAUAUAUUUAUUCUAAUUUUGAAAUUUUGAAAUUUAAAUUGUAUUCUACGGCACAAAUUUAUUUCAAUCUUAAAUUUUAAACUGCACUUCGCAAUCGAGAUUUAUUUAAUUUAUCCUACAAAAACUUUGCAGUCCAAAUUUAUUCUAAAAUUAAUACGUAAAUCAUAUUCGAUAACUUAUUAAUUUUGACAAUUAAUAUUUAUUAUUAUUAUAGUUCAAAUAAUUUGGGAAUGAAUAAAUCCAAAAGCACAGGGACUAAUCCAACACGUAACUAAGUGUUAAUUUCCGAAUACGUUUGUAACGGUUCAAUUUACGGCCAUGCUCUGUUAUUAAUUUCUCAUGUUUUAUUUAUUUAUUUUAUUUAUUGAAAAUAACUUUGAACAAUACAAGGAAAAGUGUGAACUUGCUACUAGUGCUAUUACUACUGCAUGUGCUCCACAUUUCCUCUCCAUCUCUCUAUAAAUAUGUGAAUUAUUUGCAUUACUAUUCCAACCCACCACCAUAUCAUCUUCUUAGAGAGAGAAAGAUAUUGAGAGAGAGAGAGAGAGGGGGGGAGAAGGAUCAGCAAUGGCUUCGGUGUUCGAGAUCGGAAAAUUCAGUGUCGAGGUGAUCGUCGUGACGGCGAAGGAGAAGGGCGAUGAGGCGGCGUCGUCGUUGCCUCCUAAGCCUGUUUUGAUCCUCUCGCCGACCAACGCGGGUGUUUACCCGGUCGCGGUCUUUCUGCACGGCUUCUUGCUUCAAAACCGAUACUACACGCAGCUUCUGAAGCAUGUCGCGUCUCACGGGUUCAUUGUCGUCGCACCGCAGGUUUGACCGUCUAUUUGUCUUACUAGUUCGACGGCUGUUUUCUGACGGUUUAAACUUUUACUGACGUACGUCAAAUGAUGCACCGCAUUGCAGCUCUACACCUGCAUUCUGGCGAACUCGACGGAGGACGUAGAAUCCGCUGCCGCGGUCGCCAACUGGCUGCCCGACGGGCUCCGACCUUUGCUCCCCCGCGGUGUCGAGCCCGACCUUACAAAGCUCGCCCUAGCCGGACACAGCAGGGGCGGGCACGCCGCCUUCGCCGUCGCCCUCGGCCUCGCAAAGACCCCCCUGGAAGUGAAAUUCUCAACCCUAAUCGGAGUCGACCCAGUCGCGGGAACAAGCAAAUCGUCGCAGACCCCCCCGAAGAUUCUCACCUACGAGCCGUCCUCCUUCGACCUCGACAUCCCGGUCCUAGUCCUCGGGACGGGGCUUGGAGAUGAGAAGAAGAACAUACUCUUCCCGGCGUGUGCACCAAAAGGAGUCAACCACGAAGAGUUCUACUACGAAUGUAAGCCUCCGUGCUACCACAUUGUUAUGAAGGAGUACGGACAUUUGGACAUGUUGGAUGAUAAUGCCCCGAAGAUCAUCGCAAAGUGCCCUUGUAAGAACGGGAAGAAUUGCAGGGACAUCAUGCGGCGGACCACUGGGGGGCUCGCCGUCGCGUUCUUGAAGGCGUACUUCGAAGGCGAGGACGGCUAUCUCCAAGCAAUACUGGAGGAUCCUCAGCAGGCUCCGACGGUGCUCGACCCGGUCUCUCGCCGCGAAGCGAAGAAUGAGAUGGAUUCUCUUGUUGCCUUUCUCUAAAUUUAAGCUUCGACAAAUUGCAAUGUAAUAGUACAACAAUAAGAUCAAAUAAGGUCAUUGUUUUACACAUCUAUCUUUUAGAGGAUAUGAGCUCAAAUCAUCGUCCCGAAGUCAAUUUUAAGACAUUUGAUUCGACGAUCUGAACCGUUAAAAGAAAAAAAAAAAAAUUUAAGGUAUAUAAAGAAGUUAGUAAGAGUAGGUCUUGUGUGCUAUUAGGUCUCCGUACUUUUAAGUUGUUUUCGAUGAUGGAGCUUCCGAAUUAACGAUCGGCACCGUUAGAUUUAAUCUAGCGUAUUUGAAAUAUCUAGAAAAUAAAUUGUGGUUUUUCAAUAUUAUUUACCCAACAAUUGAAAAGGUUCAAAAUCAACGGCUGAAAAUAAAAAUCUCACAAAAAAAUGAUGAUAUAGCACUAAAAUUUUUUAUCAGAGAUAUUGAUCUUGUUGUAAAUAGUAUAAAGAAUUUUUUAUCAAAAUUUCAUCUGAUUUAAAUACUUCUACACCAUUAAACUUACAAAUGGUAUAUAUCACCAUUAAAAAUUGUUGAUUUUAAAUGCUUUCGAUCGUUGGAUAAAUGAUAUCGAAAAAUCACAAAAUUUAUUUUCUAAAUACUUCAAAUAUACUAUAGUCUAAUGGAGUCGAUCGUCAAUUCGAAAACUCCAUCAUAAAAAAUAGCUUAAGAGAGCGGAGACCUCUUAACUGCUCCUAAUAGCACACAAGACCUAGCCAGCUAAUAAAAUAAAAAUUAUGAAAUUUCAAUCGCAUUAAAUAUAUCAAAAGGAUCUAGCUAUUUGAUUUCUCGAAAAUUUACCAAAGACUUUUUCUAGAAAAAAUAAUUUCGCAAAAAAUUAAAAAAAAUCCGUUCUAUAAUUUUUCUUUUCUAAAUAAAAACUCUGAAAAACAAAAAGAAGACCUCUCCAUCAAAUUUGAAAAAAAAAAAAAUACUAAGAAAAAUUAGUUUCUUUCUGAGAAUCAAACGGGAAAAAAAAAAAUCCAACUAAAAACCAUUUUAUGGGAUUUUUCCCGGAAUCCAAACACCACAGUAUAAACACAACAAUUUAUGAGCUAUAAAAUUCAUACUGAAGUACACAAUUAGCAUGUUCCUGAUAUCCAACAGACCAAACAGUAGACCAAAAAAUUAGGAUUCCAUUUCAAUCUCAAGAUAUGUGAUAACAAACUUAAUCUUCCAGCUAAUACAUAAGAUGGAAAAAGAAGGUGAAGAUCGUCAAUGAUCUUAAAUUGAAUCACCAAUAAACAUUCAUAAUUCUAUAAUGUGCUACAAGAAUUUCUUCCUCAUCUAUUGCUUGAUUUAAAUGCAGCAUAUAUUCCGAAUCUUUGAGCUUGUCCUACUUUACAGAGAUAUUCAGCAGCUUCAUACUUAAUAGGAGGAAUAAAUAAUAAUUUGGAAGGAAAAAAGAUUGCUUUUCUUCCUUCUCUCUUCUUACUAAUCAUUCCCAUUCGACGGUGGCCGGUGGUUUCGACGUGAUAUCCUGGCACACGCGGUUCACGCCGCGCACAUUGUUGCAGAUCUUUCGAACCACGUCGACGAGGAACUUCUGGUCAAAGUAAUACCUAGAAAAAAAUUGAAGAGUGAACAACCGCAGAGAGAUCAAAAUAACCAUGAUGAUAGCAUUCGGAAGUGGCGCGGAGAUAUGGAACAGUGGGCUUAGGACUAGCAGGCAUCGCAGAAAAGAAACAACCCCAGAGGUCAAAUUAGCAAUUUCACGAGUCAUCAGUAGUACGCAUUACCAAGGCUACGAAAUAUGCUAUCAGGAUGAGAUAAAUCACCGCAAACAUUUCAGUAGUUUAGGUAACAGCUCCUGCUGAAUCGACUACCACCCUGUUUCAUCAUCUAACGUUAAAUGAUAAAGCAACGCAAGAGCCAACAUUGAUUAUCAUGCAUAUAUCUCUCACACUGUCAAUGAAAGUUAGAUUACGUUUAUCUAUCUGAACAGUAUUAUGCAGAUCCUAUUGAAGCAUCUUCUUGUUCCUUUUCUAUGCGCGAUCGUCGGGAACCAUUUUGACGUUUAUCAAAAGUAUAAAUACAUAUAAAUAGAUGAAUUAAAGGUAACAAUUAUGUAGUAGAAAAGGCAAAGAAUAGAAAACUGACAUUUCUCAAAAGAACUAUAAUAUUACUCACCAGUCGGCAGUCAUUCCAUCCUCACUAGUAAUCGCUCGAAGAACCACCACAUGAGAAUGAGUUCGUUGGUCGCCCUGAACUCCAACUGACUGCACCGGCAAAAACACAGCAAAGGCUUGCCAUAUUGAAUCAUAAAGGCCAGCAUCUCUAAUUGACUGAAUAAAUAUCUCGUCCACCUGAGGAAAUCAAAUUGAAAAAUUUAAACGUCGAAUUGCUGCAAUAGACGACUUUGUACUUCUGAUGUGUAAUAUCACCUGUCGAAGAAUCUCUAGGGCAUUUCCUUCCGUAACAUCACCCAAAACACGAACAGCAAGGCCAGGUCCAGGGAAUGGAUGUCUCUUCAAAAAUGAGUCGGGUACAUUUAAUAUGCUUCCCAGUGUCCGUACCUUACAAAGAAAUAAAAAUACAGAGUAUAGCAGUUUUUGAAUUUCCAAAGAGCUAACAUGGAAAAAAAAAUUCACAUUAUGUUAGUUCACUCGUGCGAACUUUUUAGACUAAACAUGAUAAAAGUUGUGUGGAAAUAGACGGACAAACCUCAUCUUUAAAAAGGAGUUUAAGGGGCUCGAUAAGCUUCAGCUUCAUAUCUUUUGGAAGGCCUCCUACAUUGUGAUGACUUUUGAUUGUGUGAGAGUGGGUCCUCCCGCUCCCAGGGGGUGGACACGACUCUAUCACAUCUGGAUAUAAAGUUCCUUGAACCAAGAAUGUAGGUCUUUUCCCUAGUUUCUGCUCUAACUCGUGAGCAAAAUCAUCAAAAAUCGCAAUGAAUUCUCUACCAAUUAUCUUUCUUUUCAUCUCCGGGUCUUUGACACCUUUUAGCUUACUGAGGAACUGCUCAGAUGCAUCAAUACAAGUAACGGGCAGAUGUAAGUCUCUCUCAAAGGUUGACAUCACCCGCUCUCUCUCCUUAUACCUAUGAAACAGAAAACACCUUAUUAGAUCAAAUCUGUGAUGAACACUCUUCUAUCGAUAAAGUAGUAAAAACUGAGUUACCUUAACAAACCAUUGUCAACAAAAACACAGUGCAGCCUAUCUCCAAUUGCCUUGUGAAUGAGAGUCGCUGCAACAGUUGAAUCCACUCCGCCAGAUAACGCACAAAUGACAUGCUCGUCGGAUCCUACCAUCCCAUUUAUGACUCUGAUCUCUUCCUCGAGUACGUCUUGCAUCUUCCAGUCAGCAGUUACCCCACAAACAUCAAAAAGAAAAUGCUGCAGUGUUUCCAUUCCUUGUGUCGAAUGAGUAACCUACAACGAUUCGAAGAAACGAACAUCAUAAUGAGGCAUCAAAAGUAUUGCCACACUUAGGCAUCCGAAAAAUAACAUAAUGCUGGCCCAUGGAAAUUCUCCAUAAAUCACCGACUUCCACCAAGAAUUUUGAGACCAAUAAGUUUCACUUGGGGAUAAGUAGCACAAUAUAUCGAUUUCACACACAAAAAUGCUGUCGAAACAUUGAAGGAGCAACCAAAAAGAGAUAUCUUGUCGGACUCGAGAAACUAAACAACAAAAAAGAUAUCUUGAUGGGUUGUUGUAGAUCCAAGAGUGAAAAAAACUUAGAAGUAUGUGGAUAGUGCUACACUUCUACAAGUAUUCUAGCUCAACUCCAGAUAUAUAAGAAGCCAUAAAUUUAUGAACAUUUAAGUAUGUUACAUCAAACUAUACUAGAAGCGAAAAUUCACCCGUAUUCAACAAACACGUGAAAGUGAAACAAACAACCCAACAAGGCAUUAAUACAUCACUUAGCCAAAAAGUGCUUAAUCCAAAAGCUAUUUCUCUUCAUACAAGAAAUCGACAAAGAACAAUCGCUCAUGUUUAUUUUCGCUAAGUUUCAAUUACAAUAGGGCAAAAUUGAUUCUUCCUACUACUGUAUAAAAGAUCUACAAGAAAUCGAUAUAAUUAUCGAAAGAAACGCAAGUAUUUACCCUAAGGAACACAAUUAUCGACAUUUUACCUCUGGAUGGUACUGAAGCCCAUAGAACUUCCUCGAAGGGUCCGCGAUCGCCGCGACGGAGCCCUGGACGCUCCUCGCGACCACAUUGAACCCCUCCGGGAGACGAACCACCUCGUCCCCGUGGCUCAUCCACACCGUCUGAUGCCCCCCGGCCGCAUCGGGGCCGUAGAGCCCCGAGCCGCCCGCAUCCGCGGCGACGGCGAUCUCCAUCUUCCCGUACUCCUGCUUCUCCCCGACGGCGACGACGCCGCCGAGCUUCUGGACGAGGAGCUGCAUCCCGUAGCAGAUGCCGAGGACGGGGACGCCGUUCUCCUCGGCGUAGCGGAGGAAGCCGUCGGGGAAGGAGGGGGCGGCGUCGGUGUGGACGGAGUGGGGGCCGCCGGAGAGGACGACGGCGCGGGGGCGGAGGUCGGAGAUGGAGGAGAGGGGGGAGGUGCCGGAGAUGCAGAGGGAGAGGACGGAGAGCUGGCGGAUGCGGCGGGUGAUGAGGUGGGUGUACUGGGAGCCGUAGUCGAGGACGAGGACGAGGUUCCCGCCGGCGGCGGUGGCGGUUACGGCGCCGCCACCUCCUGCGGCGGCGGCGGAGGGCUUCGCCAUUAACGGGGUUGAGGCGAGGUUUAGGGUUAGGGUUAGGGUUAGGGUUUAGGGUUUGUAACAACCCUGAAUAAAUGGUAGAAAUAGUAGUAAUAGGAGUUAGUAUGGGAGAGUAGUAAAAGUAGCAGUUUUACUAGUUAAGAUGGAGAAUAAGGGCGGCAGCCGGUCGGAGAGGAGGAAGCGCGCCAAGCGGGACGGCGGGAAGGUGCUCGGGUGGAACUCCGAUGAGGACUAGGGCAUCCUGGGUGCUCCGAAGGAGAAGAGGGAGGAUCGAGGUAGAUGGGCGGAGGCUUCUGCAGGAUCUGGAGGGCGGGGGACGAGAGCGGAGGAAGAGGUAACUCGAUAGCGGGUAGCGGGCGGUCGGAUUACCGGAUCGGGCGUAAAACACGGACCCAAGCCCCGCCCGGUUGUGGAUAGUGCGGAGUAGGCGGACCCGCGAACCGCUUACCCGAUUAUCAUGUAGUUUCGGACCAAACAAGCCCACCCGAGGCCCACAAGCAACCAGAUUCAACCCAUCAGGCCUCAAUUCCCAUUUUAUGUCAAAUUGCUGUUAAGCCCUCGUAGGAUAGUUUAAUUUCAAUUCAGUACAAGCUGUAUGGGAUAUAUAUAGCUAAUAGGAUGUAAUUGGAAGGUAUCGAUGAAAUGAAAUAUUGCUUAUCUUCUUCCCCAAUCCUUCUCUAAAUCCUUCUUUGCUUCUAAGCUCCCUAAUUCUCCUCUCUCUUCUCUACUUCUAAUCCCUAUCCUCAUCUCUCUGUAUCUCUCUCUGUCUCUCUCAUUCCCAUCAUCUCCCAAUUCACGCUCCUCAAUCCGAGGUCUCAUCGGAUCGCGAUUGGGAUCAGGUUGGUCACGCCAUCAUCCCGGUUAGCCAUCCAUCUCCAUUGAGGGUUGCUAACAGGUCCGGCACAUUACAGGGUUUUGGGGGGGCAAUCAAAGAGAAGAGUUUAUAGGCGAGCGCUCGUGAUCGCCCAACUGUUUUUGAGAAAUCACGACCGUCCAUCUUUUCUAAACAGGCGAAGGUAGGUUUUUUUUUUUUUUUUUUUUUUUUUUUUUUUUUUGCUUGAACUCGGCAGAGUUGGAUAAGUCGACGCCGACUUCAGCGAUUUUCAAAAAGAGCGCAUGAUUUUUUCUUCAUUUUUUUAAAAAACAAAAUAUACACAUCAACACCAAGAGUUAGGUAUCAAAAUUCAUGUACCAACUCCAACAUAAGCUCAAUUUAAUAUUCAUUUUACAUGUUUAUUUUUUCUUUAGAUGAAAAAGACUCUCAUUUACUAAUAUUUUGGGUCCAAAUCAAUAGCUAUCUGAAUAUGAUGUACCAUCGCAAGCAAAUUUUUCUUUGUUUAAUUAUUUUAUGUGAAAUCCACAUAUGAUUGAUGUAUUGUACAUAGAGAUGGAGAAUUUUUUAGUACUAUAGUUUUGAUUCAUCAGUAAAUAUAAGAGCUUCUGCUUCAGUAUUUAAAGUUGAUAGAACAAGCAAAUAAAUCUACACCCCAAAUAAUGAAAACUAAGUAUAGCGUAAAAAUUUUGUUUUCUACUACGACAGAAGCAGUAGAAAAAAAACGUCGAUUAUAUAAUUUAAGCUUUAAUUUAAUCUCAAGUUAAACUUCGAUGUGUUAUACUAGCUGGAAGAUUUAACAGAUUUUGGUAAUUGUUCUUCUGAAUUAAACCAAAUGAAAAACUAAAUUGACUUUUUCAGAGGACUGUUGUGAGCUGAUGUUUUUGUGACAAUGAGGAAUUAAUUUAAGAAACAUAUGUUAAUUUUUUGGAUUUAAAUCAACUUGUAUUCUUAUUUAAAAACAAAGAUCACCACAAUUUGUAUAAAAAUGUAUUUUGGACACCUUGAGUAAGACAAGUUGAGCACUCCCAUAAGAAUCCACAUGAAACCCUAUGCCUAAAUCAUGAAUUUAUUAAAUUAAAAGCCAUAUGGAUGAGAAGCACUUCUUAUAAGUUAGCUAUUUCAAGCUCUACCAUUGAAUCAUUCAUUUAAAACCUCUCUCUCUCUCUCUAUGUUAUAAAUAGAUAUUAGGAUUGCUACGAUUACCCUAUAACACUGCACUUAUGCAUUACUGAUGUGUUAUCCGCAGAUUGACUUGCACAGCGUGAACCAACACGUCAGCAGAUAUAAGAGAGAUCGAUAAGAGUUACUACCUAUAACAUCUCUCUGCAAAUAUAUAUAUGUAGAUGCAAUACCAUGUGUAUUAUCAAACCAAUCUCUAUCUCUUUCUCUCCUUGAGAAGAUGCAAGAACUUCAAAAGAACACUCUCAAACUCCCCACCCUAGACCACUCACAACCCCUCCACCCUUCAACCCUCAACUCCCUCUCCAAAGCAUGCAAAGAGUGGGGCUACUUCCACAUCUCCAACCAUGGCAUCUCAACUGACCUCUACCGGCAACUCCGUGCCAUCUCUCUCGACGUCUUCAACCUCCCUUUAGGCACCAAACUCAAAGCAAGCCCUCGCACAUCCGUCAACACUUACACUCCACACUUCAUAGCGUCCCCUUUCUUCGAGACCCUCCGUGUCUCUGGCCCUGACUACUUUUCGUCGGCAAAGAGCUCGAGUGACGCCCUCUUUGAAACACCGAACGAGGAAUUAUGGUACAUCUACUCUUUUUCCAUAUGUUUCUAAGUUUGUAACUAACCCUUCUUUUCAUGUAUGAAUAGCGAAUUAAGUUCUUCAAGAAUAUGGAAGCAAGAUGAUGGACCUAUGCAAGAAGAUAGUUUACAUCCUUCUAAAGUGUUUAGGAGAUGGCCUCGAGACUAAAUACUACGAAUCGGAGUUCGGUCAGUGCCACGGAUAUCUUCGGAUCAAUCACUACACACCACCAAAUGAUAUCGAUGGAGUAGAAGGUGUCGAAGGGCUUGGAAUGCACACUGACAUGAGCUGCAUAACAAUUUUGUACCAAGAUGAGACUGGUGGGCUUCAAGCAAGAACUCAAGAAGGGGGUUGGGUGGAGAUCGAGGGAAGCGAGGGGGCUCUCAUCGUGAACGUCGGAGAUUUGAUGCAGGCGUGGACCAACGGUCGUAUGCGAUCGUCCGCGCAUAGGGCGGUCUUAAGGAAACCGACCACCUGCUUAUCUUUCGCCUUUUUUUGGUGCUUUGAAGAUGAGAAGUUAGUACUUGCACCUGAUGAAGUCAUCGGAGAGGAGGAACGGAGAAUUUACCGGCCUUUUCUCUGCAAGGAUUACAUGAAAUUCAGGCAUAAUAUUGAGAAAGGGAGGUUUGAGAAAGUUAGCUACACUAUCGAUGGGUUCGCGGAGGGUGAUGCUUUAGAUUCUAAUGAAAAGAUUGAGAAAUAAUGGGAAAUUAUUUGCUAUUUAUGCUGCAUUUGUGUAAGUCUGGUGGCAUGGAUUAGUAAUUAUCAUGUGUAUUAGUGAAAUUGAAUGAGAUAACUUAGAAGAGAAAAAGUUAUAAGAAAUUUGAUCACGCAUUCGACGAAAUUUCAUCAUGAAUUUGAUUUCUGGUAAAAUCAAAUUUUGUACAUACACAUAAUUCAUAGAUGGGUUGGUCCAAAAAUAAUCCUUAUAAGUGGCAAAAGGCAUGGUAGUCAGUACCCGAGGUUUCAAGUUCGAAUCCUAGUUGAUUCACAUUUUCAGCUAAAUUUAUUUCUAAAUAAAAUAAACGAAACGGAUAGCAUGCUACCAAUCUCUCUCAAAAAAAAAAAAGAAAGCACUACAUGGCAUUUCUUAUGUCAUGCACCUGCAGAGUUUGAAAACUACUAGACAGAUAAUAAGGCUUGUUAAAUUCAAGCUUAGGAAAAAAGCGACUGCAGGCUUAUAGAGAAUCUUAGGAAGAACUACUUUAAUCCGAAUGUUAUUAAUGCUCUUAAAAUAGUUUUACUCAAACUAAUCAGACCCUCGAACAAUAUUAACUUCCUAUUUCAGUCAUGGUAAUGUAAAACACUUAUCAAUGAUUCAACCAUCGAUAAUGUAUCGAGAUUAAAAAAAAAAAAAAAUUGAUUUGCAGAAGCGUCGCUCAGUUAGAGUUAUAUAAAAAAGCACUGAAUCAAACGUUUGACUUCUGCUUCUCAAGCAGAUAAAUUGUUCCAGUCCAAACAUGCACUGCAUCAGACGAAAAUUAGAUGGUCUUGCAGUGGUAGAACAUGGUGUUAAAAUUGUUCUAAUAUACAAAAAUUUAAGUUACACUAUGCUCAAACUUUAAUUCUUUAGAUUUUUUUGUUCGAACUUUAUAAAUAGUUGGAAUUAAGUUUUAGCUAAAUAUAUUAAAGAAUCCCUAACAUGAAAAUAAGGUUACAUCUUACUUUUUAUGGCAUCAUCUAUCACAACACUACUACAUCACUUGCAAAUUAACUACACAUUAGUAUUCAGCCAACUAAAUUAGAUUGUGGAACUAUAUUGCGACAAUUUAAAAAGUUCGAACAAAAAAUUACAACGAAUUAAAAUUUUGGUCCUCAUAGUUUGAGGACCAAAAGUGUAAUUUAUCCUCUACAAAAUGUAAAGCUGCUGCAGUAGAGGUUUGAGGGGUAAAAAUUUAAAUAAAAAAAUUGAUGCAUUUUACAUUUCGUCUGUUCUCUGAAACUAAUGACACUAGUGAAGGCCCGCGCUUCGCUGCAGAAGAUUUGCGCAUUUUUUAAAAUAUUUUGAACAAACUAAUAUAUUUCUGUAUUUACGUUGUUAUCAUUUAUUUUUAAAAUUUUAAAUUUAAAUUUUUAAUUUUCAAAUCUAAUUUUAAAUUUUAAAUUCUAAAAAAUUAAAGAGCUGAAAAAAAAUAAAACAAAUUAUUUAAAUAGAGAGGAAUAAAAAAUAAUUUGAAAAUUGAAGCGAGCAGAGAGAGGGAAAAAAGCAAAAAGAGCAUUGUCCGCCGCGCCCCGCGCUCCAGCUUGUCCGCGCCACACCGCGGGCCGUCCCACGCUCCUGUGUUUUUUUAUUCCAUUAAUUAAGAGAAAACAAUUAAAAAAAGAGACAAAAAAAAACAAAAAAAUUUAGAAAAAAGGUUAAUUUUACAUUAAAAAAAAAUAGUAAUUUUGCUCUUAUUUUGAACUUUUGUAAAAUAUUAUUAUUCAAGACCAAUCAAAUUUAAAGGGGACUAUUAUUGUCUGAUCUUAUAAUUUUUUAUCCAAAAAUUAAAAAGUUGAAAAUACCGACUGCCUUAUGCUUUCGAUAGCAAAACAACUCUACACAGAAGUAUAUAAAUAGUAUUUCAUAGUUUCUACCGUAUUUAUUAGCAUUCAUAAUAAUUAGCAGUUUAACAUAUAUAAAAAUUUUUGCUAAUAUUUCAUCAAAUGCAGAGAGAAUGAGAGAGAUGUAUAUAACCCGCACAAUUUGAAAUCGCAAUCAAAACUCUAAAAACAAUGACAAAAAAAAAAUAUUUUGCCAAUUUGUUUAAUUUCCUAACAAAAAACCCCAUUUAUUAUUGCGUUAAAACUCAGGAGGUUUGAGACUUAAGUUACUGUUGUUUGAAAAAAAAAAAGAAAAAAAAAAAGAGAAAAAAGAUGAGAGUGAGAGGUGCUUCACCGACCUCUUGCAUGAACUGAUAAGAGAUGCCCGAGCUGCAGCAUCCUUUGUGGAAAUCUCAUAUGCCGCCUCCUCUCCUCCUCUCCCUUCCUCCAAUCCAUUCUCAACUUUGUUUCCACUCUCUCUCUCUCUCUCUCUCUCUCUCGUCUCUCUUGUUUACCAAAGAGAGAGAGACCAAAAAGAAGAUCUAGCAAAGAGAGCUGCUCCAAGAGUAUAAUAUAUAUAUAUAAUAUAUAUAUAUAUAUAUAUAUAUAUAUAUAUAUAUAUAUAUAUAUAUAUAUAUAUAUAUAUAUAUAUAUAGGCGACCGGCGUCGCACCCUCGCGCGCCCCGCGCCGGAGCCCGCGCCUCCGCCUCCCACUGCCGCUCGCCUGCGCCUCCGCCUCCCGCCGCCGACCGCUCGCGCCGCCCGCUCGCGCUGGGGAAAGGGGGAGAGAGGUGUCCGCGUCCCGCGCCGCCGCCCCUCCGCUCGUGCCCGCCCGCUCCGUCGCCCACCCUCGCCCACGCCGCGCCCCGCGCCGGACCACCCACACUGGGUGAACCUGCGCGCGAGCGCCCGCGCCUACUCGCGGCCCCGACCUCUCGCGACCGGCGCCCGCGUCCGCGGCGGCUCGCCUAGCUCCGCUUCGGCCCGCGCACCCGCCCGCGCCCGCCGCGUGCCCGCGCCGGCCCCCAAGGCCCGCGCCUCGGCCCCUCGGCUCGCGCUCACUCGCUCGGGCUCCCGCUCGCGCCAGCGCCCGCCCUCGCUCAAGCCCCGCGCCCGCGACCGCGAGGAGAGGGGUGAGAGGGGAUCUAGAGAGUGGGGAAGAGAGAGAGAUCGAGUGGAGAGGAAAAGAGGAGGGGCGGGUGUGGAGAGAGAGAAAGUGUAGGAGAGAGAGGAAGAGAGAGAGAGAGAAAGGGGGAGAGAGAGAGAGAUAGAGAGAGGGGUUAGAGAGAGAGAGGGUGUGAAGAGAGAGAGGGGGCACAGAGAGAGAGAACGUGAAGAGAGAGGGGANGGGAGAGAGAGAGAGAUAGAGAGAGGGGUUAGAGAGAGAGAGGGUGUGAAGAGAGAGAGGGGGCACAGAGAGAGAGAACGUGAAGAGAGAGGGGAAAAAAAAAAAAAAAAAAAAAAAAAACCUAUCUAGUAAUAAAUCCCCUUCUAAGAUAUAUUAAUGUGGGGUAUUUACUAAUAAGAUCCCCAAAAACAAAAAAAAAAAAAACUAUAAUACCUGCUGAGUAAUUUACAUUAUUAUAUCAGGAUCCCCUCGGAGGGAUCGAUUGCCGGAGCACCAUUUGCCCCGACUCGUCCUUCUCGAACACCCGAUCGAUCAGCUCGUCCCAGGUCAUCCUUUGCCGGCUCUCCCGCGGCGAGCAGGGAGAAGCGGACUCGCCGUCCCCGCGGACGGAGCUCUCGUCGAACGUGCCGUACGUCGACGGGGACCGCGCGUCGGGCACGUCCAGCGAGACGGCCCGCCGUAGCGCCGCCCUGUGCUCCUCGACGUGCUCCCUUUGCAGCGUCUCCUCCCGCUCCAUCCGUUGUUCCGACGGCACUUCUUUUAUUCGUUCCUUUUCUAGCAUCAACUACAUACAGAAAAUACUGAGAAACUUCGACCCUGAACUUUACCCUUUGUCCCAAUUACCUACCUUGCUCUAUAAUUUUAACUGCGGCAAAGUUUACUGGUGUUGGCAUUGUUUACCUUUUUUUGGUUCUUUUUUUAUUAUUAUUGUUUCAAAUUCUAUGCGCUUAAAGAGUGGAUUAUUUGCGAGCUCUGUAGUUCCCAGAUCUUGUUUUGUUUCGACAAAGCAUGAAUUUGUUGCGAAUCAACCAAAAACAAAAAAGUACAAGUGCUGCUACUCCCUAGAAUCCUUUGUGUCAAGUUCUGCUUCCCGGGGGUCACCCAUCGCCUGCGGCUCGAUUAACUAUUUACUCUAAACCUAAUAACUUGUUGGGCUCAACCCACUAGCCCAAAAUGUUAUUGCCCAGUUACUGUAUACACCCCCACAUCUAAUCAUUAGCUAUUCGAUGUGAAACUAUUCUCAAGCCUUGGGAUGUCGGAUACCAAACUAUCAAGACCUGCUCCCCGGGGGGCCACCUAUCACUUAGCCCACGGCUCAAUUAACUACGUACUCUAGACCUAAAAACUUGUUUGGUCCAAUCCACUAGCCCAAUCUGCUAUAGUCCAAUUAUUGUGUCUAGCCUAUUCAAGCUUAUAUACCCUCACAUCUAGCUAAAACUACUCGAUGUAGGACUAUUCUCAAGCCUUGGGAUGUCACAGUUUACCAUACAAAACUUGAAGGGUGGGGGGGAGGGAAUUAAGGCCAAAUGAGCAAAAAUUAUAAAAACAUUAAGACCAAAUGAGCAAAUAAAAUUCAACUUUUUGCCGCAAGAAGAUAAAGAAUGCUUACAUCCAAUGCUUUCUGGGCUUCCCUGUGAAUCCAGAUGAUGGCAUGGUCGGUCGUGGCAUUGCAGGAAAGAACAAUGUGCUCAAACCUGCCGUCAACCGGCACAGCUGUUUUAACAACUGGGGGGUAUCUUCCACACCUGUAGCAAAUCGCGAGUGCCAAAAGAAGUUAACAUCAAAUAUGCCGAAAGCUAAUGCUUAAAGAUACAGCUAAAGUGCUCAAUUUGCAGCUGUGCUUUUAAAUGAUAUAGUAUUUGUGUAUAUGCCCUUCCAUUUAAGCAUUCUCAGGUCAUGGAUAAUUGAGCUGAUGUGCAUAUAUGUAAAUGGAUUAUUUUGGGAGAUACGGGCGAAAAUUUUAACUCUAGCAGGGAAUACAUACAAAUAUGUAGAUGUUGAGCCAUAUCUGAAAAGCUUUGAAUAAUUUGCUGUAAUGUAAAAAAUGACAUCUUCUAGAGAACUGAAGAGAGAAAAAAGAUUAAGGAUCAUUAAUCACUCUCAAAUCACUGCAGUAUUCACUGAUUCCCGGCUCGUAUAUUCAGCAAAAAUCAGAAUAAUUUUUGUUCAAUAAAAAUAUAGAUUAUGGUAAAUAAACAGCAUUUUCCUUCAUGCCAAAUAAUAGACGUGAAUUACAACAAUCAUGUGAAUUAAAAUGCACGAGUAAGUGACAUAUAAAUGGGUGUACACACUGCAAUUUAGGAAAGUGUUAGAACAAUCAUUAGACCUUAAUUCAUCGAGAAACCAUGAGCUAUACCAGAGUACAAAGAAAGGACAAGAGGUCAAAUUCCGAAAGGGCAAUGCAACUGAAUCGGUUAAUUGCAAUACCUGAACGGUUUUCUCUCCACGAUAUGAUAGAUCCGACCCGGUGCGUAAAGCCUCCUUGGAUCUCUCAACAUGACAUGUUCUGGUAUGCAUGUGUCUGUCAUGCAUCUUAGACAUAGCAGGCAUGGCAAACUGUAGAGAAUUGUUGAGUCAAGUUAGGUGAGUACAUUUUUGUACAACAAUAGGUCGGACAUGAGUUAGUUCGAAAAAUCAUAUUAAGGUGUUCAAUGGACUCUGCAUAAAACUUAUACUGAAAACAAAAACAACGAAUAGAGAAAUGCCACUACUUCACCAGAGGAUUGACUUGAAAACAUCUUCCAAAGGAGUAGCUGUCCGAGGCAAAAAAUCAUCCUGUCAAAAAAAGAAAACAAAAUCCAUUCUUAUCAAGUCAGUAAAGAGACACACAUUCUCGACUGCGACACUACAUACAACAAAAUAUUCCAUUAUUACAUAAAAAAGCGCGAAAGUAAUUAUUUAUGUAGCUGAUAUAAGAACAACGGCGGAGAACAUUUAUUGAAGUAUACCAAAACUAGAUGACUAGGUUCCAUUUGCCAUGUAAGACGCAAAUAAAACAUUUGGAAUUUUUUGUCGACAAAUUCCGUGAUAUAUUCAUCAAAAUGUUGUUCCAAAGAAACCAUCUUCGAUACGGAAUUCUCAAAUUCGGAUUUUCUUACAACAUAUUGUUAAUUCUCUCGUUGCUCGGUCAAAUAAUGGAUACGAUGAGCUCCAACAUUCUACAUUUUGCCCAUACCCUGCUCCUACAAAUAUAUAAUUUGCAAGUGUCUGGCUGCUAUACUACUAUUAGUAUGAUCGUCUACGUUCUCAUAAGUCAUUUUUAAUGAUGGCUUUUAUCGUUAAACAUAACUUAGAGCAUUUAAACAUUCUAGAAAUCGAAUUUCAUGAAUUUUUUUUAUAUCAUAUACCUUGUAUCAAGAGAUAUCAAAAUUGACAAUUUAAACGAACGGUACGUGGCGUUUCCUAGUUUAGCUACUAGUAUAGAAGAAUCGGAAUUCAUUAAAACUUUGCUAGAAAAUUCUAUUCACUAUCUAGAUGAAGAUCAAUAACUCCGAUCUUGAAUUGAGCUACUCGAUCUUCUAUUUUUAGAAGGUCGUUCAUUUCAUACCACCCACAACCCACAACUUCUCGAAUGCUCUAGAUUAUAUUUAACUGCGUCGAGAAUGACCGCGCACUACCCUGGUUUAGUUUGCAGUUCAAAAAGGUAAAUAAAAAGCAUGCAAAAGGUCAUACUUGGAGGACGACGGAGUUGAUAAUGUCGGCGUAGCGAACGGCGAGGUUCAGCGACAUACACCUGGCGGGCGCCAUGGCGUAGCACCUGACGCGCCUCCUGUCGACGUUCCCCAGCUUGUCCUUGUUCUGCACGACGACCAUGGCGAGCAGCGCGGCGACGCCGGCGCCGAGGGAGUGGCCGGCGAAGGUGAGGGUGUAGUCGGGGUGGGUCCGGAGGAGGUCGCUGAGGACGUCGCACUCGGCGUCGAGGACCCAGGCGGCGGCGCGGAGGAGGCCGUUGUGGACGUAGCCGCCGUCGAGCUUGCGCUUGCCGAGGCGGUUGUCGAGGAGGAGGGCGUAGUCGCUCUCGACGGCGAGGUUGAGGCCGCGGAUGGCGAGGACGAUGUCGGCGUGGGGGUGGUCGAGGUAGAUGAGGUAGGGGGAGACGCGGCCGCGGGUCUGGGCGUGGUCGCGGCGGCGGACGACGAGGGCGGGGUCGAGGCCGUAGCCGCCGGGCGGGGGGAAGCGGGGGCGGGCGAGGUCGUCCUCGUAGUUGGCGAGGAUGAGGCGGCACACGCGCGGGACGGGGGCGAACUCCGCGGCGGAGGCGAGGCCCCACGUCGCGCUGUCGUCGCAGCCGCUGUGGAGGAAGCGCUUCCACGCCCACCGCGCGCAGGCGAGGCAGUACACGCACUCCAGCAGCGGCAGCCCCAGCGCCAGGGACAUGGGAGGACGACGACGACGACGACGACGACGACGAAGAAGAUGAUGAUCGGAAUGGGGGAAGCUAGGGUUUUGAAUCCAUUGACGCCCCUCUUUGGGGAAGAAGAAGAAGAAGAGGAAAAGGGGAUUAGGGUUAGGGAUUGGGAAUGAUUAAAAAAAAAAAAAAUGGUGAAUUAAUGGAGUGUUGGAGUGGAGAGAUGCUGUGAGAGAGUAGGAGGAAGGGGACCAAAUUUAGAUGCUUGUUUCAAUAUUCCCUGAAGAAGAGGAAGAAAAGGCAAAAAAGAAAAAAACACUUUAUGGUCCUCAAACUAUGGGAGUGUUUGAUAAUCUUGUACUUAAACUUUAAAUUUAUUAUUGUUGGUAACCGAAAUCUACAAUUUCUGACCCGGUCAAAAAUCCUCCUCGAAGAGCACUCUGUGGAUAGUGACCCUCGAAAUAUGCGCCCUUCGAUUGGUCAAGCGAUUCGGCUGACGAGGGAUCGGGUCAACCGGAUUCGAAACCUCUACAGCAAAUUUGGUUCGGCUGGAUGAACCGAAUGAAUAAGAGAAGUAAGAAUUUCAGCCAAGAAAUAAGCCGAAUGGCUAAUACAGCACAAGAGCUGGUCAGCCUGAAGAGCCGAACACUGCCUUCUAUUGAAAGAGAACGGAAAAAGUAUAGAAAAAAGGGUUUUAGUUUACAACAGAGUGAUGCCCAAAGGGCAGACAGACUCCAGGAUGCUAAAUUACAGGAACUACUCUAAGUAGUAAACGCGAGAAAGAAAGGUGCAGGAAAAUAAAGAUGGUCUUUUGUGUGCAGGGGCGAAGACCCCUUUUUGGAGUAUUAUUACACUAUUUAUAGAUAGCCCCAUCGGUCAGUUAUUGUUCUUACACGAUCGGCCACUAUCUCCUCAUAUUCCGGACCACUUCUAGCCGAUCGGAACCGCAUGUAACUGCUUGCGAUUACCGUAACUUCCUUUAAUUGGCGCGAUACACUUUUCCGAUGCUCCCGAUACACGACCGAAUAGAUGCUUUUGAAGGAAAUAUUCGCACCUAAAUCUCAUCCGCGUCUAAUUGGCUCAACAAUUAUUAUAAUAAUUUUUAAUGUAGAUAUUUUUUUGUUAUUACAAUCGAAUUCUAUAAUCUAAUUUAAUUAGUUAAAUAUUAAUAAAUUAUUAAUAUAAAAGUGAUGUUAAAAAAAUUUUGUGAUCAAUGAUGUGACAAUAAUAAAAGUGCUUGUGUGUUUUUAAAAACAAAUUAGCUUUCAUGCUAUCAAAUUAUUUUCAAUACUGAGAAUUUCGAGUUGGCGAUUGACUCUAUUAAAUUUAAUCUAAAAUAUUAAAGUAGGUGAAAAAUAAAUUUUAUAAUUUUUCGAUAUUAUUUAUUUAGUGGUAAAAAGGCUCAAAUCAAUAAUUUUAAUGGUUGUGAUGAGUUAUUUGCAAGUUUAAGAUAUAAAAAUAUUCAAAUCACGUAAAAUUUUGGUAAAAUAAUUUAGUAUUAAUAUUUUUGAUCUAAAAUUUUAGUAUCGUAUCAUCAAUUUUUGUAAAAAAAAUUUUAAGCCGUCGAUUUUGAACUCUUUUGAUUACUAAAAAAUUACGAAAUUUUCUUUAGUAAUACUUUAAAUACUCAUGUCUAAAACGUCGGCACUCGAUAUGAAAGUUCCUGUAUUAAAAAUAAUUUAAUAGCAUAAAGACUAUCGUACUUCUAAAAGCACAAAAACCAACUCCACAUGGAGAGAGAUAGAGAGAGGGAGAGAGAGAGAGAGUUCUAUUUGGGUGCAAAAACCAACUCCACAUGGAGAGAGAUAGAGAGAGGGAGAGAGAGAGAGAGUUCUAUUUGGGUGCAAAAACCAACUCCACAUGGAGAGAGAUAGAGAGAGGGAGAGAGAGAGAGAGUUCUAUUUGGGUGCUUCUAAUAGCAUCAAGCUGUACUGGGGUGCUUAUAAUAACAUUAAGCACUUGAUGCUAUUAAGUUUUUUAACCGUUAGAUUAUUGAUUUGAUCAUUUUUAAUUCAUUAGAUCACAUAUUAUUCAAACCAAUCAUCCGUUUAAUUCUAGAGGAUCACUAUCAUCCUAACCGCAAAUUGCUUCAUCCAAGAUCGAAAAUUUAAUAAUAUUAAUGAAUUGAUAUUAUUAGAAAUAUUUCAAUAUAUAUAUAUAUAUAUAGAGUCCGGCUACUAUACUAUUGAUAGUACCAAGCUCUUGGUACUAUUGAGUUUUCUACCAUUAGAUCUACCCUUUGAUCAUUUACACCCGUUAGAUUAUACUAUUAAACCAACCAUCCACUCAACUCUAGGGGAUCACUAUCAAUUUAACCAGGAACCACUAUUAUCCUAACCGCACAUCCUUUCAUCCAACGGCCAAAAUCUCAAUAGUACCAAUGGCUUGGUACUAUUGAUAGUAUAGUAGCAUAAUUCAUAUAUAGUUGAGCUAAAAUACUAUCGGUAGUAAACGAGCCGUUUUACUAACGAUUUAUUUUCGAUGAUAGAGCUUCCAAAUUAACAAUUGGCUCCAUUAUAUAUGAUCUAAACCAUUUAAACUACCUAGAAAUUAAAUUUCACGCACUUUCGAUAUUGUUUUUUUACCCAUCAAGUGAACAGAAAAAUGAAUGGCUGAAAAUGAAUACUCUUUAAAAAAUGAUAAUAGGAGUCUUGUAAUCAAGAUCAAGAGUAUAGAUCUUGUUUUAAAUAGUUUAAAAAAUUUUCUAACAAAAAUUUAAUUGAUUUGAAUAUCUUUACGCCGUUAAACGAGAAAACGCCUCUUAUCGACCAUUAAAAUUAUAAAUUUUGAAACCCUUUGAUCAUUAGGCAAAUGAUGUCGAAAAGAUUUGAAAUUUGAUUUCUAAACACUUCAAGUGGUAUAGAUUAUGUUCAACGGAGCCGAUCGUCAAUUUGAAAGUUCUAUCAUCGAAAACAAAUCGAUAGUAAAAUUGCUCGUUUACUACCGAUAGUAUUCUAGCUCAACUCUCUCUAUAUAUAUAUAUAUAUAUAUAUAUAUAUAUAUUUGUACUCUCACUGUGAGAAAAAGGAAAUCCAAUAACUUUCUAGAAUAUUCUGGGUAUAUUUGCAAAAGUCCCAAGAUUAUUCUGGUCCUUUUUGACGUUUGUGCCACGUGGGCCAUUGUGGGCCCAAGUUUCAUAGGCAUGGGAAGAGGAUAAAAGGUUUACGUGAACCUGGUCUAUAGACCGGACCUAUUCGAGAAAAAGCUAUUCAGGUUGCUGCCUUGCGAAUAGCGGGUCUACAGGUGACAUGGUAGACACUUUUGUCUACAGACAAAUGAUUUGCAUGAACCGACCAAGUGUGGGCCCCACUAUUUCUCUCCGGAUUCUUCGUUUCAAUAAUUGAAAAACACAAAAAAAUAAAUAAAUAAAAAUAAAAUUUUAAAUAAAAAAAGUAAAUCAUCUCAUCUGUCAUCUCGCUGAAGGCUUGAUCUACAAUCAUUUUACUCAAAAAUUAUAAUUUUUUUAAGGCCAGUUUGCAAAAGAAAUUCAUAAAUUUUGAACUUUUUAAAAUUAGGCCGUCUUUUUUGAUUUUAUAGGUUCGGUCCAAAUUUUCAGCAAACUGACCAAAAUCUACUCUUUCUCUUUCCUCUUCUUUUCUCUCGUUCAUUUUUUUUUCUCUCGCCGAAAAAAGCAGCUGAGGCAGAGGCGUAGGCGGAAACGACCCGCCUCACUUCUCACCGUCAUGCUCUUGCCCUCGCCCUUUCCCUCAUCCGCGCACCCCCCACAUUCCUCACCUCCGACCACGCCGAGACCGCACCGUGACUUUUUUUUUUUUUCCUCUCCGACUCUUCUCCACCGUCUCCGACGACGAUGCCUCUCUCGCCCUUCCCCGCCCUUCUCGUCCUCUCCCUCUCCCUCCUCCUCUGCCGUCUCCGACAACAACGCAUCUUCGCCGACGCCGAUACCGUGGAGGUCACUGCGGCGCUGCAGCCUCGAAGCCGAGGAUCUUUAGCGAUGUCGUCGCCAUUGGCAGAGAGGGGUGACAAAAAAAAAUUAUAGAAAAAGUAAGAAAAAAAAUAAAGAUAAAAUAUUAUAGAAAAAAAAGAUGAAAAUGAAGUUGCACCGUUAAAAUAAAAUUGCAUUGUUUUAAAAGAACGUUGCACUAUUAUGAACAUAAGUUGCACUACUUAAGAUAUAAACUGCAGCUUUAAGAUAAAAAUUACACUCUUUAAACAAAAAUUACAUUCUUUGUGAGAUAUUUACACUGUUUUUUCUCUUAUUGCACUCUUUCAGAUGUAAACUGUAAUCAUUAAAAUGAAAGUUACACUCUUUAAACGAAAUUUGCACUAUUUGAGAGAUAUUUACACCAUUUUUUCUCUUCUUGCAUCAUUUGAGAUGUAAACUGCACCUCUUUGAGAGAUAUUUAUACUAUUUCUCUUCUUGUUGCACUAUUUUUUCUCUUGUUCCACUAUUUCUUCCCUUGUUACACUAUUUUUUCUCUUAAACUGCACCAUUUAUACUAUUUUUUUUCUUGUUUCGUUGAUAAUUAAGCCUUAAAUUUUUAUUCGAAGUAUCUUUCAACAGGUACGAAGAUAAUUUCUCCAAGAAUGUUAAUAUAGAAAAGGUCGAGUUUCGUCUGUACGGCGGAACUGAACUUCACACGUGACCAGAGUGAAAGUCACGAAUUUGUGCCAUACGCGAACUCACCGUAAAUUAUCAAACGAAAGAGUAUAUAUAAAAAAACGUAGAAAUUUUAGACGAGUAAAUUUUAUCACUUCAAACUUUUAAGAAUAAAUAUAAAAGUUAGAUAUUUUUAAGGGAUACAUGAGCAAUUAUUUCUCUUCCAAAUUAUUUGGUAUAAAUUUCGUAUUUAAAAAAUAUAAAAUUUUAUUUUCCUUAAAAUUUUGCUUGAUUCAACGGCCUUAUUAAGAUACGGUCUCUAAACGGGCCAAAAGUCGGCCCGCUAAAGCCCAUUUUAAGGGAGAAACCAUAGCCUGGACCGGAUGUACCACGUCAUCUUUGAACCGCUUGCUUUAUUUAUUUAUUUAUUUUUUCGCCUCUAGGGUUUUACGACCCAUUCAUUCACUCCUAUGUAUAUAUAUAUAAACGGAGACGCCUCCUCCCUCGCGGAGUCGCAAUCGCUUCCUCAAAAAGCUAGGGUUUUUGCAUCAGGACGAAGCCGAUCUAAGGUACUGAGCACUGCAACAGCUUCUUCUCCCAGGGCUUUUCCUCAAAUCGGCUUCUCCAAAUCCCCCUCCUUUUUUAAAAAAAGUUUUUUUUAAAAUUUUUCUUUGUGGUGCGAUUCUCUUUGGAAUGAAUGGAAUUAGGGUUUUUCCUUUUCUUUUUCCUUUUUUUUUUUUGGUUUUGGUUUAACAAUUCAUCGUUUGCGAUGAUGAAUCCUUAAUGGAGGAAUCUGAAAUUUUGGGGGGAUUUAUUCCACCCAAAAAAAAAUGAUUACUUUUCCAAAACUGCAAAGGAUUUCUGAGCAAAUGCCAUUUUUUUUGUAAAAAAAUAAAUGAAGCGGGAGUACUUUUUUUUUUCUUUGAUCUGUUUGAUUCAUCAAAAAUUUGAAUGGUGCGAUAAAUAAGGAUCAAAAAUAGAAUUAAAAUUAACUCAUUCCAAAUCUAUCCCGAUCCGAAAUUUUGAAAAAAUUGGUAUUAAUUUUGAAAAAAUUAGCAUUAAAAUCCGCCAGAAGCUAUCAAAUUAUAAUGGUGAUCAUCAUCUUUAUAAGUAGGUAAAGGUCGGAGAUGGCGUGAUCUAUUUUAUUAAAAUUACAUUAAUUUGGAUGGUUAACACCUAAUGGCGCAAUUAACCUAAACAAUUUUAUUCUCUAUGCAAUUAAAUUUUUGGUAAAAUUAUAUAAAAUUUAUCUGAGUAUGGACAAUUUUGAUUGGAUAUUUAAUUUUUCAAAAUUUUGAUUUUGUUAUCUAAUUUAUUAAUUUAUUUGAUUUAGUUAGUGUAAUUUAGGAAUAAUUGCGUGUAUGCUCUUCAAAAUCUCAAAAAUAUUUAAUUUAAUUUAUUUUUUGUUUCUAAUAUAUUUCACAUAUAUUUUUUUAUUCAAAAAUAUUUUUGCAGUUAUCACCUAUUAAUUUAUUUCGAGUUAACGUGAGUUAAAUAUUUACUAGAAUUAAAAAAUAUUUUUUUAUCUUUAAUUUAAGGACAAAUAAAAAAAAGUUAAUAAUGAUAGAAUAGUAUGAUUUCGUUUGGGAUUGCGAAGAGAUUGUGUUACGUGUGGUAUAAGAAAAUACUCUAUUUUUUUCCAUACGUAAUAUUGCGUUCCGCACAUCGUAAUUAAACUUUGUUUGGGAUUGCUGAGAGAUUGCAUUACAUGUGCUGAGAAAGUACGAUGAGAAAAUAUCAUGUUUUUUUUCAUACGUAAUAUUGCAUUCCGCCGCGAUGAGUCACCGCGAUGAGUCAGCUACAAUAUAUUUUCUACGGUCUCACCGGAAUGCAUAAGCAUAUUUCUAUAUGCCUUUACCCUAAUUCUAUUUUAUCUAAUAACAUCAAAUGGACUAAGCCUUAGUCGGUUAUGAUAUAUCUUUUACGGUAUCCCAACUCCAUUUUUUCUAAUAGUAUAAGAUGGACCUUAAUAUAUUUUUUGCGGUUCCACAAAAAAUAUAUAUUUUUAUAUAUUUUUAUCCUAACUCUAUUUAUCUAAUAGCAAUAGAUAGAUCUCAAUACUAAAUUAAACCUAACAAUUUAGAAAUAGAAUUUAACUCUAUUUUACGUAAAUAACGAUUACAACUAGUGGUUCGGUAACAAAAUUUAACUCUAGGAAUAUUUUUGAAAUAAUAUAGGGCAUAUUUGAAAUAAUUUGAAAUUUUAAAAAAGUAUUUUUAAUAUUAGCUUUCUAAGAUUUGAAAUAACUUGAAAUUUAAAAAAACAUUUUUAAUAUUAGUCUUCUGAUGUAAACUUAAAAGUUGGAAAUUUUUCAAAAUUGCCUCUAUAAUUUAUUUAGUUUUUAUAAUUAAAAAUUAUAAAAAUAAUUAAUUAAUUUAAAUUUAAAUUUAAAAAUAUUAUUUACCGACUUAAAUUAAAUGUAUUAAAAGAGUGAAUAAUAAAAUUAAAAUUACAGAGAUUGGAUAUCGAAUUUAAAUAACUUUUCUAAGGAAGACCAAGCGCGGCCGAUUCGAACCAAACCGGUUUAACAGCCCGUUCGCAAAGACCGGCUCCCCCGGUUUAACUUAAACUGGAAAAAGGCGAAGUUCGAGAGCAUCAUUCGAUCAAACCAAAGGGAAUCGAAAAGGGGGGCGAAAUUACCUCACCCUAAUCCCAGUUAAUCUCCUCAAUCCCUUCUACUUCUCUCUUCUUCUUUUUUUUACCUCUUUUUUUUAUCUUUGUAGAUUUCAUGACACAAUCUCAAUUACCUUUACUUUUUGUCUUUGUUUCUGUUUUUUUUUCCCUUAAUUAUCACAACUGGUACUCCAAAUUUUCUAAUUUGAAGCGAUUUUUCUCUUCAAAUUUGGAUUUUUUUUUCCUGUGUGUUGACAUGUUCUAUGUUGUUUAAAUCUUGUGUCGUGUGUGAUUAGGUUUCAAGUAUUUGCGAUAAAGAUCGCGUAGAUCUACACAUCUAGUUUUGGGGCGAUUUGAUUUGGGUUUCUGUAACUGUUAUUUCAUGCAGCAUAAGAAUUAAGGUUUGGAUUUAAAGUUGUUGUUUAGGCUAAUUUUUUGCAUAAUUAUCUGCAAUAGGGCAUUAAAUUUGUCCUUGGUUUGAUCAGUAAUUUGUCCUCUUCAUCCUCAUUUUGUGCACGUAAGGUGUUUGUGGAAAUGCCCUAGAGAGAACAUUGUUGCAUCUCUAGCUAUAUCAGUCCAUUUGCUUAUCUGUGGAAGCAUCCCACAUUUUUGGAGCAGCCAUUGCCUGAACCCGAUCUACGCAGCCGCUCGCGGAUGGUUCAGUUUAGUGCAAUGCAUAUCACUAAACAAAGGCAUGUUCUUGUGUAGACUCUGUCCGCCGAGCAACAUACAUUCGACGCUCAUCAAAAUGCGACUAUUUGCAUUUGGAUGGCAAUGAAAGAAAAAUAAUUGUCGGGACCUCCUCGAAUUUGAACUCGGCAGCAUAUGAAUUUGAGUUCAGUUUUGGUCCAUGUGGUAUGCGAGGUACAUUGAUGAACUUUUCCUAAAUAAGGAAGCUUCUUCGACCGCACAGGUAUAUGUUGCAGAUUUGCACUUACCAAAAAAUAUCGAUUCAUGCCUACUAGUUCUGUCAGUAAGCUGUUAUUAAACAUAGUUUGUAGCUUAUGCAAGGAGUUCGUCUAGUGGUGAUAUAGAUGAAAAAUGUAAAGAUCACUUUUCUCAGUCAAAUUUGAUGUAGCUCGAUACUCCUGAUAGAUACAUCUUAAUUCUUCGUCAAUCUCAGAAACAAAUUUCUCGGCGACUAACAGACCUGGAUCAAGUAUUUACAUAUUUCUUUUUUUCCAAUUCAUUUGCAUAAUAGCUGGUCUGAAGACUCUCCACCUUGAGUUAUCAGCAGUUUUCUCAGCAAAUCCGACGUCAGCAAGCGAAGGUCAAUUGAAGUUUCUGCAUGCUUCUUCCCAUGCAUUCCUGAUCACCUACGACUAAAGCAAAAAACUCUACCUGCUGUUACUAUUUGUAGCAUGGAACCGGAGUCAUCUCAUGUUCCACUAAUACCUGGUCUUCCCGAUGAUAUUGCUCUUCUUUGCUUAGCUAGGGUUCCUCGGAGAUACCAUCAUGCCCUGAGAUGUGUUUCGAGAAGAUGGAGAGGGUUAUUAUGUAGUGAAGAGUGGCGCUUAUGCCGCCAAAAGAACAAUUGGGAGGAGACUUGGGUUUAUGCCGUGUGCAGGGACAAGAACAAAGGUGUACAAAUUUAUGUGCUGGAUCCAGAUCGUGCAAGCCGGUGUUGGAGAGUCAUACAAGUUAUUGAAACUCCAUGGAUGAAGCGGGAAGGCGUGUCCUUUGAAACUUUGGGUAAGAAGUUAUAUCUCUUCGGAGGUUGCGGCGGAGGGAAAAAUGCCGUUGAUGACGUAUAUUGUUACGAUGCUUCUGCUAAUCGAUGGGAGACAGUGGCACGAAUGCCAACAGCCAGGUAAUGUGUUAUGCUUGGCUCUUUAAUUGUUCCGUAUUGCAUCUUAGUAUAGACUUUUUCUUUUUUAGUUCUGAGAUAUAUAUAUAUAUAUAUAUAUAUAUAUAUAUAUAUAUGUAAAUUUAUCCUGCAAGAUUUUCUAGUAUCUAUAUGUGUUGGAUAUCUGAAUUUCAUAUCUGAAACUUAAUCUCUUAUGCAUAGACCCCUUUAUUUACACAAGUGCCCAUUUCACAAAUAUUUUAAUAUGUUUGCAGCGACGAUAUUGCAGGUACGCAAAUGUAAAAGCCGCUUUUUCUUUAAAUCUCGAGCGAGUAAGUGGAUCUUUUCCUUCACAAAGGAUGAAGGGCAUUUGGAACUUACUAACUCCUGUUUGUUUCAAAAUAGGCAUUUUUGAUCGUCCUUCUAGAAGCCCAUGAAGACAUUUGACCCUUGGCUGUGAUUCAUAGAUAUCUGGCUCAAUAUGAUCUCAUAUUUGUGGAUUGUACUUAAAACUUUUCAACAUCUGUAAACAACAAAAUUUACGAAAAUCAAUUGAUCGGAAAUUGUUAUAUGCGUAUCAGGUGCUAUUCUGUCUCGACAUCUGUAAACGACAAGCUUUACGUCAUGGGCGGGCUUGGGUCAGAUGGCGCUGCACCGAAUUCUUUGGACGUCUUUGACUCCGAUUCGAAUACUUGGAGCUCGCACGAGAGCUCGAUGCUCACCCGCAAUGUUAUAAAGAUCAUUCCGGUUGAUGAGAAGUUAUAUACUGUGCACAACGAGACGGAGGAUGGCUAUCCCUUUGCCGGAGUUUACGAUCCCUUGUCCAGAAGCUGGCAUGCUGAAGAGAAUGGUAUUGCAGUGUGCUUCUACGGGCCAACGGUCGUUAUCGAUCGGACCGUUUACAUCAUGUUAGAUCAGUAUCUGGGGCCGAGGCUGAUGAUGUGGCAGGAAGAGACCAGCUGGGACCCACUGGGGAGGUUGUCGUACCUACUGGCGAGGCCGCCAUGUCAGCUCGUGACUAUCGGGAGGAGCAUAUUUGCGAUAGGGAGGGGGCUAAGCACGGUGAUCGCCGACGUGGACACAGCCGCUAAGGUUCCGGGGUUUUUAGUGUGCUCUUCGUUCCGACCGAUAUUCGAAGAUGAUUUUAAUGUCAUUAGCUGCAAAACUAUCACCAUUUGAAAUGACCUCUGUAAGAUAUCUAUUUUGCUUUCAUUUGGAUAUUUAAAUUUAAAUAAUAUUCAUAUGAAUCAUGUUCUUUUCCAAAUCUCUUCCUCAAAGCUUUGGCAAAGUGAUCUAUAUAAUGUGUUGCUUACAAUACUUCAUUGUGCCUAACCACCAGGUAGUGAUGUGAACUUUUGUGUUGUGAGGGAGUAGUUUUGUUCAAGUGAAGUUUUAGAUAUAAGAAAUGUAGGGCUUAUUUGGUUUUGCUUUAACAUGUAAUGUUAUUUGAUGAACUGUUGUCGGAGCAGCGCAUGUAGGAGAACUAUGGAUUUAUUAUGGUUUUUUUUUUUUUUUGAAUCGGCUAUCCAGCUUUUUAAAAUUUUGAUUUUACUAUCUAUUUUUUUAAUUUAUUUGAUUUGAAUUGGUCAAUAAUAUUUUAAUUUUACAAUUUAAUCUAAUUAUUUAUUUAAUAAAUUUAUAUUGUGAUAAUUAUAUAAAGCAUUCUAACGAAAUAUAUAAAAUAAACGACACAUUUAAAUUUCUUUAAAUUAAAUGUCGUCGACAAUCUUAAAUCAAUUAAAUUAAAAUAAAAUUAAAAUUUUAAAGGAUUAGAUAACUGAUUUAAGAUGGCCUAUAGUUCAUAUAAUUUUUGUAAGUUUUUUAUUUUGUUUUUUUCCAACAGCAAAAUCAUAAGCAUCUCAAAACAUGCCAUAAUUCCCCCUUAGGUAAUGUAAAGGUAAUGUAACAUCACUAUUAUUAGCGCAUCAUUAAUCACAAUAUUAUUAAAUUAUUUUUGUAUUGAUGAUAUAUUAAUAUUUAGUCACCUAAAUUAUUAUGUUACAGAAUUUAAUUAUAAUAAUUUUAAAAUUUGAGCUAAAGAUUAAACAAAUUAAAAUUUGCCACGGACUUUAUAGUUUGAAGAGCAAGUGCACAAUUCACCAUUAUUUUUAAGUCCAAACCAUGUCAUCUCGAAAUUAUAAGGUCAGAGAUUUGAAUCACCGUUUCAGUAAAGUACAAGAAUCGCUAACUGAUUCAAAAAUCAACCACGCCAAGCAAAAUCAAAACUUCAAAAACAUGCAUAGUCGUCCCAAUAGUUCAGAUCAAUUCCACACUUUCUUUUUUUUUUAAAAAAAAAAAACUAAUUUAUUUAAGUUAAAGAAACCAAAGGAAGAAAAAAAAAAAAAAAAAACUCGUAACACAGGAAUUUCAUCAAACAGGUACCGUGCGUGUACGAGGCGCGCCCCCAACGCCACUGCUCAGCACCCAUAUAUCUCCUUGAGCUUCGCCGCGGCCGAUUCGUCGAUCGAGUACUACAAACACAAAACACGCACAAAAGAAAUAAGAAAAAAGGGGUUUGGGGAGAGAGAGAGAGAGAGAUUAGGGUUCGCAUGUAGGUAGGGUUUUGAGGGGAGGGGGGGGGACCUUGUUGAGGACCCAGGUGGAGUGGGCGUAGGCGCGGCGGAGGAGGUCGGGGAGGGAGGUGGAGGGAUCGGCGUCGCGGUAGUUGACGAAGUUCUCGCGCGCGUACUUGGCGUAGUAGGCGCGCGUCUCCGGGGGGAGGCGCCGCACGAGUCGCAGCACCUCCAUGUACGCUCGGAGCCCCUUCUUCUCCAUUCGCCCCGCCCCCUUCCGAGGAACACUUACUUCACUGGGGAGCUCUCAAAAAUACCUACGACUUUAAAUUAAGGUUAUAAAUAGCGGGUAUUUCGUAGAGUCUUAUAGCGAAAAGCGGAUAACAUAGCAGAAGCUAUCAGUUAUGUAGAGUCGUGUAGCGAAAAGCGGAUAGCAGAUUUCAUAAAUAAAUUUAAGGGAAAACUUUAAAAACCCGCCGUGAUUUCGUAGUUUCUCAUUUUAUUCCCUGUGGUUUAAAAUGUAUCAAAUUGCCCCAUGUGGUUUCGUUUUUAUCCUUUCGGUAGCUUUUUCGUUAAUAUUUUAUUAAAUUAUAUACAAAAAACUUUAAAUACCCAUCUAGAUUUAUCAAAUAUUCAUUUUAGUACCCUUUAAAUUAAUUUUAUCACUGAUUUAAAAAUAAUAAUAAUAAAAUUGAUAAUAAAAAGAAAAAAAAAUCACAAUGGGGCAAAUUGAUAUAUUUUAAAUCAUAGGGGGGCAAAGUGAGAAACUACGAAACCACAGGGGGGUUUUUUAAAAUUUUUCAUUAUUUAAUAUAUUUAUAUUUUUUAUAAAAAAAUAUAUGGCUAAAUUAUAGAAAAUUUUUUAUUAGUAACCGUUUUUCAAUUUUUCUCACUGGUAUUUAAAAACCUACACUUUGUCUUCUUAAAAAGUAAAAAAUGCUCAUUUUAACCCAUCAUCGGUAUUCUUUUAGAGUUUCGUUUAUAUCCUUUUUUUUAUACCCAAAAUAUUUUUGAAAUCCUCUUCAUUUUUCAUCCUCGGCUGCGUCACCUCGCCCUCCACUGCGCCGUCUCGCCCUCGCCCACCUCUCCGUCCACACCAACCUUGAAGAAAAUGGGGGCAAUUUAGUUAUUUUUUCACAGCGUACAUCUCUGUGAACAUUUCUCUUUUUUUAAGGGGAUAAACGGUAGGUUUUUGAAUAAUAGGAUGGAAAAGUCAAAGAAAAUAGAUAUUGAUAUGAGGAUUUUCUAUAAUUUAUCCAAAAUAUAUAUAUAAUUUGAGUAGGUCUUGUGUGCUUUUAGGAGCACGGAGGUCUCCGUGCUCCUAAGCCGUUUUCGAUGAUAGAGCUUCCGAAUCGACGAUCGGCUCCGUUAGACUUGAUAUAGCGUAUUUGAACUAUCUAGAAAAUAAUUUUUGUAAUUUCUCGGUAUCAUUUUCCUAGCGAUCGAAAGGGUUCAAAAUCAACAAUUUUUAAUGGUUGAUGUAUACCGUUUGCAAGUUUAACGAUGUAGAAGUAUUUAAAUCAGAUAAAAUUUUGAUAGAAAAUUCUUAAUACUAUUUACGGUAAGAUCAAUAUCUUUAAUCGAAAAUUUUAAUGCUAUAUCACAAUUUUUUGUGAGAUUUUUAUUUUCAGCCGUUGAUUUUGAACACUUUCCAUCGUUAGGUAAAUGAUAUCUAAAAAUCGCAAAAUUUUUUUUUCUGGAUACUUCAAAUACGCUAGAUCAAGUAUAAUGGAGCUUAUCGUCGAUUCAGAAGCUUUAUCAUCGAAAACGGCUUAGGUGCACGGAGGCCUCCGUGCUCCUAAUAGCACACAAGACCUACUCUAUAUAAUUUUGAAGAAAAGAACUAAUCUUUUAGCA
Molecule: long non-coding RNA, 72535 nt
Filed under: Ananas comosus (pineapple)
Lineage: Eukaryota; Viridiplantae; Streptophyta; Magnoliopsida; Poales; Bromeliaceae
Description: long non-coding RNA (ACOM_LNC012573)
Source: RNAcentral